This 67183-nucleotide long non-coding RNA is filed under the name Coffea arabica (coffee). Its description in RNAcentral is "long non-coding RNA (CARA_LNC000242)". The record is from RNAcentral. Lineage: Eukaryota; Viridiplantae; Streptophyta; Magnoliopsida; Gentianales; Rubiaceae.
UGAGAUACCAAGCAUUAUCAACCAGAGUUUGAACACAGUCCAAGUGAGAUGACUAAUGUAACCAUUUCUCAAAUAUAUAAUCCAGUUGUGCAAGUUUAAAACAAAUUAACAAAGAACCAUUGGAAUUGAUUCUAAAUCUUAAAAGCUAAGAGCCAAAUUAUUUGCAGCUGGUAGAAUUGCACAUGAGGGAGUGAUGGUUGUACUCUUGAUCAAACCAGUAUGUUUUAUCCUCUCCAAAAACAACUGAAAACUGAUGCAAAUAAGAAACGCUGGUACAUGAUUGGAGGAGGAGAGUGGAUCUCUGGCACUUAUUUCAAUCAAAAUAUCUAGCAGACGGUCUAAAAGUUGGUAUAGUUCUGGCCAGAUGUUAUGACACACCAAAGUUAUGGAAAUUGGUUCAGUCUAAAGCCCAUGAAAUGAAUACUCUGGAUGUGGUUUGGAAACUUCUCUUCCAGAAUCAGCGGUUCGAUGAAAGGUAAUAUCCAAAAUAUGGUUUCUACCAUUGAUAAAUGUAGUAACAACAAUUCACUUCCAAAGAUGGUUCACAGGGAUUAACCACCAGUCCCUCAUGACGAAGGAAAAUCUUUUCAAUAGAGGCAGUAGUCAGCAAUAUAAGUGCAUCAUACCAAGUUCCGCUAAGCUGAAGAAGGAUCCAGGGAAGACAUAAAAUGCUCUGGCCUUUUGAUAACAUUACAUAGCCUACCUUAAGCCCAUAGCUAUCCUUUACUGAUGUUACUGGAUCCAUUCAAACUCAUAAACUAUUGAUAUUCAUGGCCGAAACAGAAUGAAAAUACUUGAAGAAGCUCCAAAAUAUGCAUGAUGAAAGCAUUUCAAUCCCAUUUCUAAAUAUCUCUCCUAGCCAAAAAUGAAUAGGUAAAGCUAAAUGGUACCAUAUAAAUAUAACAGCUUUCAAGAAACCAAGUGCUUCACUGCUAAAUACAGAAUCUGCAGAACAAGAACAGAACAAACGUAGAGAACACCAUAGCUAGAUGUAGAAAGAAACAAAUAUAGAUAUGUGCGAUAAGAUGAUACCACCUGUAACUUUGAGGCCAAGAGGUGGUGAUAGAUUUGCUCUCCGGCCUUUCGUCCUCAUUAUCAUUAGAAUAACUGCUAGAAUCAGAAUUAUUUCCAUCUUCACUAUCUUCUUUCUCCAGUGCCUAAAAUCAGUGCUAGCUGCAAAAAAGCUAAGCUCUUCAGAAGCCUAAAAUCAGAACAAAAUUCGCUUAGCAUCAGAGGCAGCAACUAAAGUACAGAACAAAAGAGAGGGUUGCCCCUCUAGAAUUCAACACUUCUCUCUGUAACAUUAUUCAGCAAUAUAGCAGGUUGUUUACAGAAUUUGGACUAUUAAACAACUUUUAUUGCUAGUAACAACAAAGAAAUUUUAAAAUAUAACAGAAAAUCGGCCCUCAAAAAUCUCAAAUACACCACGGGUGCAAAUUAUAUAGCUUUGAACUGUACCUGGCAAAUUCAGAGUUUCAAAGAUAUUCCCUUGCAAUCAGUAACAAAAUUUAACCUUAAUGCACGUAUGACAAUAUGAGCAUAUAAGCAGAGGUGAAUAAGCUACACCCAGAACACUACAUUCCAUUUCCUAUACAUAUCUAUGCACACGCUCACUUUGUUUUGCAUCUUUGCCUGUACAUGAUAUGUAUGCAUAUGUGUAUAAAUACACAUAUACAUAUAUAAUAUGCAUACACACACGUGUAGAUUGAUGCAUAUAUGCAAAUGUCACCAUGGUAUCAGCAAAAAGUGUCUCAUGCGCUGAUUAUCAGAAUUCAACUCUCACUAAGAAACAGAUUAUAUACUUAGAAAAUCACACCAAAAUUUUGGAAGCAUUCAAUUUAAAGCUAUCAACUGCUUUUUUUCAUCAGUAACAACUACUUCUCCAAAGAAUUAACUGAUGUAGAAGCAUCAAACAACUCAAAUCUUUACCUACAAAAUGAGCUGGCUGAUAGAAAUGAACAUCACAUCUCAUUGAUGCUUCUUGUUAAUGCUGCAAAACAGCCAAUGUUCCACUAACAUUCGGCUAAGGCUUGAAUAAUCAACAACCAGUUCUAGUAAAUAAAUUGACUUCAAUUUACAACCAAACUCUGUUAGAAACCAUCUAUUCAGUUCUCUAAUACAGUCUUUCGACUAAUUUUGCCGGAAUAAAACCGAUAGAAACGAAUAGAUAUUCAAACUUGGAAGAGUGAUAUAUGUUAAAAGUCUCUAUCACUCCAGUUAGGGUCUGUGUACACCUCUGAAUUCAGUAAACUUGAAAAAAAAAUAGACAAAAAUAGAGUCACUUUCCUAUAAUAGAACUCCAAGAAUUACAUGUUAUCAAUAAAAUUUCCAUUUAUUCGUGAUCUAGGCAUAGGUAGCAAUCCAUUCUAUAAUUCUUCUCAUUACCUCUCGCGAGAAAAUGAUCCCACUAAAGAAAAGAAUUGUACAGUACGAAAUAACAUAAAAACAAAUUUAUUAAAAAAAGAUAUGGACCCUUUCCUUUCUUCCAAUUCUUCCUUUUUUGACAGGAAUCAAUAAGAACUAUUUGAACCCGAUUAGAUUUCAUCCAAAUGUACUACAAUUGUAGUAGUAUAACAUAUCAACGAAAAGAACUAUGUCAAUUUCUUCAAUUUCAUGCAAUUAUGAUCCAAAGAAGAAAAAAGAUCGACUAAUCGUUCUAUGAUGAAAAAUUUUCGAUUUUUAUAGUGAAAAUGGAUUAGUCGUACCUAUACAAUAAUCUAUUAUUAAUAUGAAUGACUCGUCAUUCACUCGGUUUGGAAUCAUAAUCAUUAUAUAGGAGAGAUGGCCGAGUGGUUCAAGGCGUAGCAUUGGAACUGCUAUGUAGAACUCCAAGAAUUACAUGUAACUCCCUAUAAAAAAACUGUAAUCACUGACCAGCUAGUUCAAGCUUCUGUCUACAUCUUGGGUUUAUAAGUCCAAACCAUCUGCAGCAGAAAAUUAGAAUCCUAAACAUUAGAAACAAAGGAAAUCUGAUAGUAGCAAAACUAACAAAACGAAUACCCAUUCAGCAGAUACAAGUUUUUACAGUACGGCAAUUAAGAAAAAAUUUCUUUAGAAACAAGAAACACACGUGACCUUGAAAAUUUUCUUGUAGCAGUAUAUGCUCAAUAAAACAAUGAAUAUCAAGCUGAUGUGUGUACCUUCUCAAAAGUAGAUGUACAGGCUUGGAGCAAGCUACUUCGUUCUCCCAAACUCACUGGGUUCUGUUUAUUUACUCUUCCACAUCCUAUUCCUCUGCUUCCUCCACAUCCAAAAUACCAAUAAGGAAAAUUCUAAACCUUUUUUUUUUUUGCAAAAUCAACAGCAUGAUUACAAAAUCAAGCCCUUUUUACAAAAAAGAAAAACAAAGAGACCAAAAAAGAAGUCUUUUUGAGUACAAUGCAUUGUUAAUGAGUAUAAUGCAUAACCAUUAUGAGAAAAGAUAUCCUCCCCAAGAAUAAUUCAAACUGAACCUCCCAGCUUCAUAUAUGAUUCAGAAAUUGGUAAAAUUAACAAUUUCAACAUGCACCAAAACUUCGUCAAAACCACAAAUAGCACAUAAAUCAGAAAUUUGAAAUUCAAAGUUAAGGUAAUCUAGAAACAUGACCGCAAAAUAAAAAGAAAAGACGAUAACCUGAAAAGCUAAAUCUUUUUCUCCUUUUUAGUAUUUCCUUGUGAUUUUCCUCAAUCUAUCAAAUAGGCGGCAAUCUAAGAUUAUGAGGACAGAAAACUAAAGAAGUAAGCAAAAAUUUAAGAAAUGAAAGGAAGCAGAAACUUGAAGGUCCAAUCUAGUGUAAAAUUGGAAAAAUGACAGGGAAAUAAAUCAAAAAAAUUCACAACCUGAAAAGUUAAAUUUUUUUUCUCCUUUCAGUAGAUAUUCCUUCCAUUUUUUCAAACUGUUUUCACAUUUAAAUACUAUAACGUUGAGAUACCAAGAACCAUACACCACAUACAUUAAACAAAAUGACUUCACCAAUAAUGACUAACCAUAGAAAAAAGGGUUUUAAAAAUCUCAUUUGGCAAAUUCACAUACAAAGGAAAUAAAAGCACAAGUAAGAUAUUGUCAAUAAUAUUAAAAAAAAAACCAAAAAGUAUAAAUAAACAUUAUUAUCAGACUAAACUUGGCUGUUUUAUCUUACAAUUACUACGGGCAGAAUCGACUACUAUUGUAGGCAAUGAACCACAUAGUUCAGUUGUCAACUCUGCUUUACCCAACUUGCUCACAAACGCUUCUAGAACAAAGGCCACGUAAUUAAAUGAUAAUGCUCAAAAUGUAAAAGCAUUUGCUAAAAAUUUGAUCUUCUAGUUUUUAAAACAUUAAUGAGAUGUUAUGAAGAUUAAGAUGCAAAGAAGAAAAGUAAGUUUGUAAAAUCUACCCAAUAAAUUGAAGAAACAAAAUGUCCAACCUAACCAUGCUAUAAUAAUAACCAAAGUAAUAGGCUCUUUGAAGAGCUAAGAGAACUGGAAAAAAGAAAAAAGAAAUAACAGGCCAGAAAAGAAAUUACCCCAGUCCAAAUCAUAAUUCGAGAGUAGAAAAGGCAAAGAAAAUUAUAAGGCACAACUAUUCAAUAUGUUAUUUUUAACUUUCACAAGCAAAUGUAUCAACCCCGUGGAAGUUUCUAUUCUAACUUCCUAACCUUCAACCAGCACCUUCUUGUUGAGGAAAACAAUCUCUUCAUAGAACAAAUAAACAAAAGAACGCAAUUAGUAUAAUAAUCUAAAUAUGUUAAUUUUCCUAUCAGCAUAUAAAUUUAAGAAUUUAGGGAAGGGAAAAAAAUUCUCUUAUUCAGGGAAAAAAUAAAAAAAAAGGGAUAAAUCAAUUUAAGUCCAUUGAAAUAAAUGAAGUUUUUUUGUCCAAAAAAGAAACCAAUAACAAAAUCAAAAUUUUUGAAAAAAAGGGGGACCCAGUACAUUAGGCAUUAGAAUCCGCCAAGAAAUGAGGGAAAAAUUACACUACAAUCAGAGCGGCAGACAAAAUUUGCAAGCCCAAAAAUAACGGCGAGAAAAGUGGAGUUGUAUAAAGCAUUAAGGAAACCACCGGGAAAAGUAGAAGCUUGUAGUGUAAAAUUGAUGUUGAACCCAUAGCCAAAUAUUUUAAAGCAAAACAGGAAAUCUUUUAUGACUUCCGGCAAGGGUGAUUUACCAUACAUAUAGAUUGAAAGCGAAACAAGGUAAAAGAUACUUAAAACCAUGAAACUUUCCUCAAAUUUCUGUAAAAUUAUUGAGUUUUUAUGAAUUUUGAUGCAUUACAUGGUUAAAAGAAAUUACCUAAGCAACGCAAGAAAACAACCCAAAAAUAAUGAAAUUGAAGUUCACCUCAGGAAAUUUCCUUUCCUCUCCAAAAAUGGUACAAGAAAGACAGUAGCAGCUGCAUAGACCUAGAGAAUGAAGAAACCCAAAAUUAUUUAAGGAAAAUGAUAAAGCUGAACGAAGAAACAAAGAAAAGCCAAAAUUUUGUUUAAGUAGAAAAUAAAUCAAAAUAUCAUACCAAGAAAAUGCGCGAGGCCUUCAAGACCUUCUGGAUCACUAAAAGAACCUACUCCAACAUUCAUUAAAUACUAAAUCAACAAAAGAAAUUAAGCAGGGUGAAAAAGAAGAAACCGAUGGAUUGAAAUUUAGUACCUUAUCAGUUUCUGGAUAGCUGAUGAGGAGGACCUCGAGAGCGUUGUGAAGAACGAUUCUUCGGUAGUCUCUUUUGUCGGUGCGAGGAUUCACGAUCCCUCUGACUUCCUGCUCGUUCCUGGCUCCAAACGCCAUUUUUCUUCUCGGCAGGAACCAGAGACAGAGAGAGCGAGAAGAAGCUGAGAAGAACAAUAAGCUGGAAAGCGAGCAAAACCAACAGAACAGGAGAAGAGAAGGCUCAAUUUUCUAAAGUCUGACAGCAAAAGUAAAAAGCUAUUGUAAAAUGACUAUGUUAGACAUAAGUUGAAAAUAUAUAGUCCAUUCAAUGAGUAUUUUGAAGGAGCAAAAUGUAAUUAAACAACGCAAAAUGAGCUGGCUCCAAAAAAUGAACAUUACGUCUCAUUAAUGCUUCUUGUUAAUGCUGCAAACACCCAAUGUUCCACUAAGAGGCUAAGACUUGCAAUAAGCAGAUGAAGUGAGCAGAUGAAAAGCUAAAAGGACAAAAAUGCCCUGAAGUGAGCAGAUGAAAUUGCAAUGAAUAGGAACCCAAAGCGCCUUCUUAUAUAUUAUAAAGAUAUAUGUAAUAUAAAAAUUUAUAUUAUAUAAUAAUACAUCUAACUAAUAAUUAUAUUAUAAAACAAUACAAUAAGUCUUGUUAAGUUAGUUGUAUAUUAUGUUAUAACUAUAAACUUAUAUUAUACAAAAAUUGGCAUUUAGUUUAGCAAAACUUACAUAUAAUUACCGAAUUAGGUGAAAUCGGUUGUUACCAACUUUCGAAUUCGGAACGAAUUUGAAUUUAGAAUUUGUGAAAUCAAAUUUGAAAUCGAUCGAAUUUUCCAAUGUCCAAAUUUUCAAAAAUUCCAAAUUCAAAGUUCCAAAUUACUGAAUUUAAUUUCGAUGCACACUCCUGUCGAGCAAUUUGAACAGAAAAAAGAGCUUAUGUACAGAGGUAAGCUAUACUAGUUUGAUUUUAUGGCUUUUAUUUUCACAUUUCUUUUGUUAUUCACUUCUUAUUUUUCUUGUGUCGCAUUAUAGUUUGAUAGGUACCUAUAUCUUGGGAGAAUACAAGCCAAAUAAUACUUAUGAGGGCACGUAGAAGGUAUUUGUCAAUUUCUUGCUUAUUUUGUGUGGCAAGGUAAAAGGAAAAGUAGUAGCAGCCAAGUUUUAUGCUAAAAACCGUGUUAAUUAAGGAUUUGUGAUGAAAGAGGAGUUAAAACAAAGUCAUUGCUCAUGUUUACUUUUCUUCACCAUUAGUUCUUCUCAAAAAAAGUUGAAAAAUCUUUGCUUUUCACAAGAGGGAUAACAGUUAGAACAUGGUUAGGCAAUUGACAUAUUAUGAAUCCACUUUGCAAAUCCUUUUUGGAAAGCCUCAACCCAUUCGUCAUCAACCACUACCUUAACCAAGUUGGAAGAGCAAUAAUGGAAUAAUUUGGAAAAUGGAAAAUCAAUCAUGAACACAGUCAUCCAAUCCACUCUCUAGACUCGGUCAUGCUCCACAUGGAAAUGUUAUCUACUGUCAUCACCCAAAAGCAAAAAAGGUAACAUGCAUGUUCAAGGUUCGACACUUGAAGAGCUUGCCUUCGCCUUUUAAGGAUUUUCCUUUCUUUUCUAAAAGAAUCAAGACCAAACAUGUUUUUAAGAGAACAAUUUCCCAAUAGUUCCAUCCAUCCAAAGAAUUGAAAAUCAAGACCAUAGUCGUAUAUUAACUGUCAUCUAGCCAAAGAACUGAAAACUUGGGCCACAAUCAUGUUUAUUUACUCUACUACUGCUUUCAAGUUAAGAUGAAUCAUGAAUUAGUUGACCAGUAACAAUUGGUCAAUUAGGAAUGCUAUUCGACUACAACAAUGAAGGUUAUACAUCUCAUAUUUGCUCAGGAAAUAUUUACAAAUACUGCACGAAGAUGCUAAAAAUGUUAUCUACUAAAGUGUGGGUCUAUUAAUUGCUGAGGCAUUACACCUAAUCAGUUAAAUUGAAAAUCGCAUUCUGAGAGUUCAUAAUUCAAUUCCAGAAUUUCCAUACCUGGCAAAAAGCCUGAAAUGUAACUGUUUGGACAUCUCAAAAAUGGACAGAGGCCAUUUCCGGCCACUAAAAAGUCAACCACCAUGUUCAAAUGCUGAAGCAAACAUACUACUUGUAAGUUGCAACCACAGUUAAAUUAGCAAUAAUUCCAAUAUUAUACACAAGCAAUUUUACACAAACCAGACAUCUGUUAAGCCCAUUUCCCUCGUGGCCCAUCCGUAUCACAAAAUCCCAUUAAGGGUCAGCACAAAAUAUCAAGUAUGAAAACCAAAUUUGAAGGAAAACAUAAUGGUCCUCCUCUACCUAGCAAGGAAAGUUUCAUUCUUUUGAAUAUGCAAGAACAACAUCUUCAGAAUGGCAAUUGUUUGUCUAUCAGAGCAAAAAACUGGCAACAGAACUUUGAUAACAGUUCAAAGAAAGCAUACAAAACUCGUUGAAAAUCUACUCCAUAACAGCAACUCCCCCUACAGCCUUGAUUUUCUCUAUAAUAUCAUUUGCCUCUUCUUUAGUGAUACCUUGCUUAAUUAAAACUGGUACUUUCUCAACUAAAUCUUUGGCUUCCUUCAACCCCAAAUUUGUGAAAGCACGAACCUCUUUGAUCACCUUAAUUUUUGCAGCAGCAUCAAACUUUUCUAACUUGACAUCAAAUGCAGUUUUUUCUACCUUCUUCUCCUCAGCCUUUGAAGACCCAACGCCAGACCCUCCCUGAGGACCCAAGUCCAUGCCCUCCACUAAAACUGGUUGAAUCUUAGGAUGCCUUAGUCUGUCUCUAAGUGUGGACCAAUCACAUUACGCUCUUCAGGAGACAGGGCGCAAUCUGUUCUGCAAGCCGAAUGAUCUUAUCUAAAGGUGGGGGUCUAGGGCCAUAAGGAUCAUAGAAAGCAGGAUACUUGUGUCUUACGGGCUUCGAUUUGGGAUCCCUGGGAAUGAAAUCAGGCUGAAAUGCACGAGACUGUAGAGGGCCGGUAACCACACGAAGAGCGGAUAGCUACGCAAGGAUUUGAAAACUACAGAAAGCUUCAUGGUUUGAAGAUAGUUACAAAAAAAUAAAUAUUUAAGGAUGAUUUCUGGCGGAGCAGUGCCCUUUGGCACUUGUAGCACUAAAUGCAGCAAAUGAAUGUAAUCCUUCCUUCCCGUAUAGAAGCUUCACAUCCUAUUUCAGUGAGCUUCUCACCUUAAGAAAAAAAUGGGGAAGAUGUCAGUCUCAUUCAUAUUUUCAGGGACUAUCAUCUCAUUUCUGGAAUAUGGAAAUCCUACUGGUAUAAGAAGACUAAUCAACAAUAUGACAUCCAGUAUUGCAAGCCAUUUACCACUCAUAAAUUUUCAGUCCAUCAAUCAGAUGCCAUUGGCUAGCAUGCUUGAUAAAUAUUUUUUGCAUGAAUGUGCUUUGGGAAAAAGACCACAUGCAAGAAUGCUUUGGUAAAUGGUAGCAUUCUAGGAAUUGACUUCCAUGCAUAUACCCAGAGCAUGGCAGACAAGGCAUACAACAAAUAAAUACUAAACAAUGUUUUUUGGAGUAUGUUUUGGUAUUAGGCCGCAUUCUUCUUGCUUGAAAUCAAAUAUUACAAAGGAACAAUCUUUAAAGAGAGUGGUCAACUUAUGGAAUGAACCUAACCCUUCCGAAAAGCUAAUGUGCAAAAUAUACCAAUCGAUUCAAUAUUAAGUACCCUUGCAAGAUUUUCUUGUUCAAAAUCCAAACUAUCCAAUGUCUCAAUAAAUCAAAGGAGAAAGAGAAACUAGGAAAGGCAUUCGAGGGCUUAAGUAAGGAACAAGUGCAAGUACUUUUGGAUUAUUUUCAUUCAUAGUUCACUCACACGCAAAAGAAACCUUAACAGCCAACUUAGGGAAUAAAUCUUACAUCCAUCUUCAUUCAGGUUUCAGACCAGUUCCAGCCAAAAAAUAAAAUAAAAUAACUCAGGCUCCAAAACUAACAAUUUCAUUGAACUUCAAUAGGUCUAAGCACAAAAUAAAAUCCAAUCACCAGAAACAAAUUGUUAUGACAAACGCUAACCGCUAAGAAAUAAAGGACUCUUGAGAGGCACAAUAAGGCAUUAGCAGCGAAAGGUUCACAAGCUACAAUCAAUAUCAAGAAACUAAAACAUAAAUAAAUCAUCCAUUUAACAGGGAGAAAAAAAUCCUUCAUAGCUAAAUAAACAAACAAAUGAACUUACCAAUUUGUUGUUGAUUUUGUGGGUUGCAUAAACUAAUACAGAGAAGGACAGUGAGGAGCGUCUGCGUGUGCAAUCGCGCGUAAGAACCCUGGCGGAUAUUUAAGUGCCCGUUUUGCAAUAAUGCCCUUGAUUUUUUUUUUAUUGAUUUUACUCUUUGGCCCCGUUAUUACUUUACCAUUGUCUGGCUCCUUUAUGGCUAUAUCCAAUCGCCUUGUUUUAUUGUUUACCUUUUUUUUACCUCAUAGGUGUUAGUAAUAAGGGAUAAUUCAAAAACAUCCAGAGAUUUCUCAUAAUAUCACUUAGCUUUCCUGAGAUUUGUGAAAUUUCGCUUACCUCCCCUGUCAGCCGGACAUGACUAAAUAUUCUUAUCAAAUGUCACAAAUUAACAAUAAUACCUUUGCCAUUAUUAAUAACUAUUUAACCAAAAAGUCAAAACAAAAUAAAAUGGUUAAACCAAAAUAUGUAGAUUAAAGUUUUCUGAUAAUGGUCUAUAUUUCUCUAUAUUGAGAUCAUGGUGAGACAGCAAAAGGCAUGGAUAUAUUAAAUCUAGUUAAAAUCAACCACUCAGAAGGAAUUGGUGAGUAAUUAACACCUUGAAAUGUUCUCUUAAUUCUUUGGAUGGAUGGAACUAUUGGGAAAUUGUUCUCUUAAUAAACAUGUUUGGUCUUGAUUCUUCUAGAAAUGAAAGGAAAAUCCUUAAAGGCGAAGGCAAGCUCUUCAAGUGUCGAACCUUGAACACGCAUGUUAACUUUUUUGCUUUUGGGUGAUGACAGUAGAUAACAUUACCAUGUGGAGCAUGACCCGAGAAAGACAAAGGUCUAGAGAGUGCAUGACUCUGUUCAUUGAUUGAUUUUCCACUUCCCAAGUGAUUGCAUUAGUUGAUCUUCCAACUUGGUUAAGGUAGUGGUUGAUGACGAAUGAGUUGAGGCUUUCCAAAAAGGAUUUGCCAACGUGGAUUCAUAAAUUAUUAGGGAUGUAAUCGAGCCAAAUCGAGAUCGGGAGCUCGACUCGACUCAUAUGUACCUAGGCUCAAGCUCGGCUCGAGCUCGACCGAGUCCAAAAAAUCGAUACUCGAGACUUGAUUCGAGAAACUCCCUUUAAGCUCGAGACUCGACUCGAUAAGGCUCGACCUUUAGUCAAACCUUAUCAAGUCGAGUCUAAUCAAACUUUUUGACUCGAUUCGACCAAUGCCGGCUGCUUCUUGCUUAAUAUCAAGCUUAUAUGAACUAUUACUGGGGAAAAUUCUGGCUGACUGGUAGACUGGAAAAAAGGGUGGAACAUAAGUCUGACCAAAAAAGGUGACGUUUUGGGAAGAUCCACAGGCAAGCAAGUAGCUAUCAGUUGGAGUAAAUGAGGCAUAUAAUCCAUGAUUCAUCGAUACAAAUACAACCAAAAGUAUCCACAUUCUACCUCCCACAGUUAGCAUCUUUAACACCCCUAAGUCCUGCAAAAGUACCCAAACUAACCAAAAUUCCCCACAAAAUUCCAAAACUCAGCAAAACAUGAGCUGAGCCACCAAAUUGAGAGACAAACAAUUAUCUUAAACAGCCACAAUAUCCCAACUACCACAAGCUCAAUUCAAGAAACUAAUGCCAAGAUCUAUCCAGAAAUUCCUUUUCCCCACAAAUAUCACUAAUUACUAACUAAAGAAAGCUGCUUUAAACAAGAACAUGUCAGAAAAAUAUAUUCUUGGUUCAGAAAUGGACCAUAGUCCAGCAGAAUUACAAGUGUUUGAACAAGAAUACAAGAUAUAGAAGAAUGAAGUUGAAAACUCUUGUCAUUCAGGAUUCAGCUGCUUCUCCGCACAGUAAGUUAGAUAGCAGUCAGCUCAUAGGGUCUCCCGGUCACUUGGUUUAAGCAAACAUCACAAGUGAUUUUCUGUGAUUCUUACCAAAAAAAAAACAAGUGAUUUUCUGUGACAUGUAUCAGUCUUUCCAGAGCUAAUAAGGUUCGUUCUGUCAUCUCUUACACAUUUUGACAAACAUGUAGCAUGCAUCCCAGUCAUCUUAAAUUUACCCAUAAACAAGAUUGGUGCUUGUUUCCUAUGUUAAGGCUAUUAAAAUCACCAAUAUCCAACAUAAGCCAAAAAGGAGUAUUCCUAUCAAGAUUCCUCUUCUGGACUCAAACACGGUACAUGAAUAUUUGUCAGGGGGCAUCACAAUAUGAUUGGAGUAACCAGAUGCGGUAAUCAAUCAUACUACAUUAGAGCAGAGGCAGACAUACCAGUAACCAGAUGUGGCGAGCUCACUCUGUAGCGAUGGCGAUGGAGUCUGACAGAUGCGGCGAGCAACGGCGUCGGCGACGAGCGAGAGACUGAGAGUAACGGAGAUAGGGUUUAGAUCUAAAUCACUCAGAGUCUGUGGUUGGAAGGGAUGUACUUCGAAUAGAAAUUGAAUUUUUUCUCGAAACAAGUCUGGAAUUUUUCACAAUUUUUUGACACACUUUCCGUCUUUCCUUUCCUUUUUCUAGACAUUUUUUCUUUUUAGGUCUUUUUACAAUUAUAUUAUUAUUUUUUUGUCAUUAUGAAAUUUUAUUACAAAGAAGAGCAUAUUAUAAAUUCAGUAUAACUUAUGUCCAUAAUGGUCAUUUUUUAUAUAUAUAUUAUUUAAAUUAUAAAUAUAUUAUUUAUAAUUCACCCGACUCGACGAGCAGCUCGACAAGUCUCGAGCAUCAAAAUAUUGGCUCGAAACUCGACUCGAAUGACAAUUGAGUAGUUCGAAACUCGGCUCGAACUAGAUCAACCCGAAUUCAAGCCAAGCCGUUGACCGAGGUACUCGCGAGUAGUUCGACUCGCGUACAUCUCUAUUCAUAAUAUGUCAAUUGCCUUCCCAUGUUCUAACUCUUAUCCCUCUUAUGAAAGGCAAAGAUUUUUCAACUUUUUUUUUGAUGUGAAAGAACUAAUGAUGAAGAAAAGUAAACAUGAGCAAUGACUUUGUUUUAACUCCUCUUCCAUCACAAAAUCCUUAAUUAACACGGCUUUUAGCAUAAUACUUGGCUGCGACUACUUUUCCUCUUACCUUGCCACACAAAAUAAGCAAGAAAUUGACAAAUACCCUCUACGUGCCCUCAUAAGUAUUAUUUGGCUUGUAUUCUCCCAAGAUAUAGGUGCCUAUCAAACUAUAAUGCGACACAAGAAAAAGAAGAAGUGAAUAACAAAAUAAAUGUGAAAAUAAAUGCCAUAAAAUCAAACUAGUAUAGCUUACCUCUAUACAUAAGCUCUUUUUUCUGUUCAAAUUACUCAAUAGGAGUGCGCAUUAUAGCUGGCAAUUGGGCGGGUUGAACGGGUUUUGGGCGGAUUAAUAUUGAAUUUUCACUUAAAUGGGUUAUACCUAACCCGUCAAACUUUAGAUUGAAUUGAUUUUGGGUUGGUUCAUAUUGGAUUAUCUCAAAAUCUAUAACCCAAAUAUGACCAAACAUAUUAAUUAAUACAUUUUCAUACAUAAACUUUUUCACAUACAUUUUAACACACAAAAAAGAUUUUUUUCACACAUAUAAACACAUUUUCACAUACAUAAAUGUAUUUCACACACACAAACACACACUCACUUCUUAAGUUCCUUGGAAACAUAUCAUAAAUAGAAUAAUAUUUUAUAUUGCUUGUAUUGUAAAUUUUAGAUAAUAAAUUGUACAUUUAACGAAGAGCAUAGCGCCCCCCCCCCCAACAAAACACCACCUUAAUCUUUUCAAUAAUCUCUUCCAUUGAUCCACUGUCAAUUUUUGUGUCCCUUAAAAAACUUUGAUUUGUGCCGUGCAUCUACUCUUAAUAUAUAAGACAUGUUAUAUAGGGAAUUUAUAUUUGGGAUUGUGUAAGACUCUGCUAGCUUGUUUUGUAUCUUAAUGAGCAACUCUUUGCCGGAUGCCCGAUUAAUUAUGAAUAUGAUAUUUCUAACGAUGCUGUUAAUAGGCUCAUAUUAUAUCAUAAUUUAACAUGUGAAUACACACAAUUACAAUUAUUACACUCCUCAUUUGAAAAAACUUUCUUAAAGUAAUUGUAAUUCUCCGAAAAAUGUAACACCUAAAGAUUCUCUUAAUUAUAGGAAUAUCUAUUAAUUCCAUUAGCCAAACUGUUUGUUUGUUGUUAGAAUUAGGGGGUAAAAUGAUGUGCGUCGUAAGUUUAGUUGAAAUCCCGUUUAUGAGAGGAGAAUUCGUGAACUAUUCUAACAUUUUUACCGCAUUGGGAUCGCAUUAUUUUGAAUUAGUGAAAAAUUAGGCUGCUCCAAAGUAAGCUUUUAUUUGUAAAUUUGAAGAAUCUGAAAUUAUAUAAUGCUGAAAUGUUAGAAAAGAAAUUUGUACAAUAUUAUACGUGCACGAAAUAUUAACAAACAAAAGCAAUCACGAAAUAUUAAAAAGGAAUGCAGUUAGAACACAUUUAAAACUCUAUAUUGCGUACACAAAAUAUUAACAAACAAAAGCAAGUAGCAACUUGAGAACAACCACAAAAAAAAAAGAAAAAAAAUGGGAGGAAAACAACAUAUUCUUAAAAGGCAUAAUAAAUUAUUAUAGAAGUUGAACAAGUUUAACUACUGUUAUAAAAGUAAAAUAAGCAUGAGUUUUUAUUUAAAAUUGAAAAGAAAUAUAUAUAUAUAUAUAUGUAUAUAUAUAUAUAUAUGAGAAUUUUGAAUACAAAUUAAUCAAUGAAUUAUUAACACAUGUUCAAAUACAAAUAGUUGGACAUAUGUGUAUUGAAUAUUGUAGUUAUUAUUUUGAAUUAGGGAAAAUACCGAUUUUCAUCACCAAACAUUGUACACAAGACACAUUUCGUCCCUCAUCUUUCGGACAUGACACAUUUGGUGUCUGAAUUAACAAUUUUUGACCAAAUGUCAUCCUCAGACGACAAUUUAGCCAACCUUUAACGAAACCGAUUUACACGUGACCGUUAAGUAAAUGUGGCUAUCCGAAGCAAAAUCAGGUGGAAAAUGACGUUGUCUUCACUUUCCCUUUUUCUUUCACUUCAACAACUUCUUCUACAAAUUUCCAAGACUAAGCUCCUACUACAAAUUUGUCCGAGAGUAAACCCCCUCUUCCAAUUAUAAAUAUAUAAUUAUAAUUAUAUAAUACACAUAAAUAUUACUUAUACUAAUAUUUUAUAUAAUUAUAAUGUAUAUUAGAUAUUAAAUUUAAUCAUUAUAUAACAUUAUAUUCAUAAUAAUAAAUAUAAAUAUAAUUAUAUAAUUUAUUAAUAUUAUAUACACAUAUAUAUUAUAAGGGAUAAUUUCAGAAACCUCCCCUGAAUUAGCUUAUGGAAAAAUGGGAAAAUGGAUAAUUUAUGGAGGAAACCCAUAAAGAGUUGGUGUUUUAUUGGAGAAUAGGUUUAUUUUUAUUUUAUCCGAUAAAUAAAUUUGUUUAUGAAAAAAUGGGUAUUCUAUUCUUAUAAUGGAGGAAAGCCAUAAAGAGCUGGUGUUUAUUGAAAAACGGGUUUAUUUUUAUUUUAUUCGAUAAAUAAAUUUGUUUAUGAGAAAAAUGGGUACGCUGUUCUUAUAAUGGAGGAAAGCCAUAAAGAGCUUACAGAAAGUGACCGCGAUUUGGUUUAUGAAAUUAUCCCAAAAAAAUUUAGAAUGAAUUUGUUUAUUUAAUUAAAUAGUUAUAAUAUACAUUUAUAUAAUACACUAUAUAAUUAUACUAAUAUUAUUAUAAAAUAUAUAAUUAUAACUAUAUAAUAUAAAUAAAUAUUAAUUAUACUAAUAUAUUAUAUGAUUAUAAAGUAUAUUAUAUAUUAAUUAUAAUUUUUAGUAUAUAUUAGUAUAUUUAUAAUAAUAAAUAUAAUUAUAAUUAAAUAAUAUAUUAUUACUAUAUACACAUAUAUAUUAUAAAUAUAUACACAUAUAAUAUACAUUUAUAAAUAUAUAUAUAUAAAUAUAUUAUAGUUAUUAGGGUAUAGUUAUUAUAGUUAUUACCCUAAAUAUAUUAUAGUUAUUAGGGUAUAUACCCUAAUAAUAUAUUUAUAAAUGUAUAUUAAAUGUGCAUAUAUUUUAAUAUAUAUGUGUAUAUAGUAAUAAUAUAUUAUAUAAUUAUAUUUAUAUUUAUUAUUAUAAAUAUACUAAAAAUUAUAAUUAAUAUAUAAUAUACUUUAUACUCAUAUAAUAUAUAAGUAUAAUUAUAUAACGCAUUAUAUAAAUAUAUAUAUAAUAAUUAUUUAAUUAAAUAAACAAAUUCAUUCUAAAUUUUUUUUGGAUAAUUUCAUAAACCAAAUCGCGGUCACUUUCUGUAAAGUAUCACUUUCCCAUAAAAGACUAGCUCUUUAGGGUUUCUCUCUAUUAUAAGAACAGAGUACCUAUUUUUUCAUAAACAAAUUUAUUUAUUGAAUAAAAUAAAAAUAAACCCGUUCUCCAAUAAAACACCAGUUCUUUAUGGUUUUCCUGCAUAAAUUAUCCAUUUUCCAUUUUUCCAUAAGCUAAUUCAGGGGAGCUUUCUGAAAUUAUCCCUUAUAAUAUAUAUGUGUCUAUAAUAUUAACAAAUUAUAUAAUUAUAUUUAUAUUUAUUAUUAUGCAUAUAAGGUUAUAUAAGGAUUAAAUUUAAUAUCUAAUAUACAUUAUAAUUAUAUAAAAUAUUAGUAUAAGUAAUAUUUAUAUGUAUUAUAUAAUUAUAAUUAUAUAUUCAUAAUUGGAAGAGGGGGUUUACUCUCGGACAUAUUUGCAGUAGGAGUUUAGUCUUGGAAAUUUGCAGAGGAAGUUGUUGAAGUGAAAGAAAAAGGGAAAGUGAAGACAACGUCAUUUUCCACUUGAUUUUGCUUUGGAUAGCCACGUUUACUUAACGGGUUUCACGUGACCGGUUCCGUUAAAGGUUGGCUAAAUUGCCGUCUGAGGAUGACAUUUGGUCAAAAAUUGUUAAUUCAGACACCAAAUGUGUCAUGCCCGAAAGAUGAGGGACGAAAUGUGUCUUGUGUCCAAAGUUUGGGGAUGAAAACCGGUAUUUUCCCUUUUGAAUUACUUUUAAACAAAUUGAGUAUUGGGUACCCAAAUAAAAAACCCAACCUGCCCAAUAAAUAAGUUGGGUUGUUCUUACCCAAUCCAACAAAACCCAUAACCUAAUUGACCCAACCCAUCCUUUAAAAUUAAUGGGCGGGUUGGGUGGGUUAUUAGGUUUUGAACUUUUUUGCUAGCUCUAGUGUGCAUCGAAAUCAAAUUUGGUAAUUUGAAACUUUGAAUUUGAAAUUUUUGGAAUUUUGAAUAUUAGAAAAUUCGAUUGGUUUCAAAUUCUGAAUUCGAAUUCGUUCUGAAUUCAAUUUGAAAGUUGGUAAUAAUCGAUUUCACCUAAUUCGGUAAUUAUAUGUAAGUUUUGCUAAACUAAAUGCCAACUUUUGUAUAAUAUAAGUUUAUAGUUAUAACAUAAUAUACAACUAACUUCAUUAGACUUAUUAUUGUAUUGUUUUAUAAUAUAAUUAUUAGUUAGAUGUAUUCUUAUAUAAUAUAUAUUUUUAUAUUACAUAUAUAUUAAUAUAUAUAUAUAUAUAACACAUAUGAAUUUGAAAUCGAAUUAAGUAUUCGAUUCCGAUCUCGCAUUGUGAAUUCGAAAUCAAAAAUUCCGUUUUGAGAAAACAUAUUCCCAAAUUCAAACCAAACUCAUAUAUUUUGAAAAAAAAAUCCGAUUUCCUUUCCGUUUUUCUCUUUACUGAUUUUGUAAAUUCCCAAAUUUGAAUCGAAUUCGAUCGAUAAAUCGAUUUUUUUAAGUUACACGCUCCUAUAACUCAGAAUGAAUCACGUUUGAACUGGUGGUAAAUUAAGAAUUUUAUUAACUCUAUUUUCACCAAAAAAAAGAAAUUUUAUUAACCCUAUUUUCACCAAGACAAGAAAAAAGAGUUUAUUAUUAACCCCUCAAAUGCAAGUUAUGAGCAUGAUGUCGUUAAGGUAUAAACUUUGGAUCAACUGGUUGUACAUUAAGAAUACAGAUAAGUUACAACCUAUAAACUACUAAUAAGUUACAUUAUUGAUUUGCAAUUGCACUGUUCAGAUUCAAUGGAAUAAUUCUGGUCUGCCAAUGCUCAAACAUCCCUUCGAGGCUACAGUUUCUUCCUUUUUUUUUUUUGUCGGUCAAAGUAAGCAAAGGGCAGCUUUUUGUCUUUGGUCGCUUUAGCAAGCAUUUUACCUGAGGAAUGGAGACAAAAAAAUAAAAGCACGCAGCAGUUUUUUUUUUAAAUUAUGACAGCAUGUCCAUGUUUUAUAGAGAAUAGGAAGAAUUUUUUUUUAAAGUACAUUUUAUUUUUUUUUCUUUCACUGUAAUCAUUCACUAAUGAAAUUAAUUUAAAAAAAAAAGGAAAGUAAUUUCUUGCGUUGAACACGUAUUAAAGAGAGAUUAGAAAAAGAAGGUUAGUUCAAACAGUUACUUUCGAUGAAGAUGACAGACUUUGGCGAUUAUGUAAUUUACACACAAGGAAAACAAAGGGAAAAUAAUCUGGGAGAAAUCAUGAGGAAUACAGUAACAGAAGGAAAAAGGAGGACAGAGUCCAGUCAACGACAAAGGAUAUCUUCCACUAUGAUAUUCUCCACUGGCUGUCCUCCUGUAGUCUUUGCAGCAUCCCCAAAAUUUUGCUCCGUUAGUCCAAACUUGAUCCUUCAGUCCCCAAAAUUUUGCUCCGUUAAAUCUUCAGCCAACCAGCAAGGUAAGUUCAGUCGCUAAAACUUGUACAACCCUAACAAAUAUGAGCAGAUGUUGCCAUGCAGGAUGACAAGUUCAAAGAACCGAAGGAAAACUGCCUCAAAGACAUUAAUACUGUCCACUGCAGUACAAGUGAUCCUUCAUCUGCCUCAGAUUCAGCUCCAGCGAUCCCAUGGUCUGAUUCUUGUCCCGAAUGUCUAUGAUUUUUCAUGCUUGAUUCUGAUUGGAUGGGCAUAAUUCAAAUGUUAGAUGGGUUUUUGGAUUGUUCAAAGUUUAAGAUUAUUAGGACUUGUUUGGAAUCCAAGUUUAUUGUCAAGUUUGUUUGUUACAAAUUUUUUAAAAACUUUAUACUACGGUAAAUUAAAAAUAUUUUUUAAAAAUUUUAAAUUAUACAUUUUAAAAUAUUAAAAAAAUAUAAACGCCGUUUGGAUGGGAGUAUUUUUCAAAAACUAAUUUUUUAAAUAUAAUAAAAAUUUUUAAAAUGUAUUCUAAAAGAUAAUUUAAAAUUUAAUUUAAAAUUUAAAAUUAUAUUUUAAAAAUUCUUUUACUCUUAAAUAUUUUAAAAUAUUUUCUAAAAAUAUUUUAAAAUAUAUUCUAAAAAUUAUGCUAUAGUAAAUUUUUUUAAAAAUAUUCCAAAAAAUAGUUAAUCCAAAUGGAGCCCUAUACAUUGAAAAUUUUUUUUAAAAGCUUCUACAAGUAAACUAUAGUAAAAUUUUAGACAAACUCCAAAGAACUCACUUUCCAAAAUUGCUUAUGGGUUUCGUAGUGAUUAGCCAUAAACUAGUGGUGGAGUCAUGACCUAUGGUCUGACAAUAAAAUAUUAUACACCUAUAUGAUCACGUAAUUAUUAUGUGAAGAGAAAUUUAAUUAAAAAUUAUGUUUUUACUACGAUUUUUUUGUGUUGUGAAAUUAUUGAAGUUAUUUAUUAUUCAAGUAGUAAUCAAUUUUGUAGUUUAAUAGCUUUAAAACAUUUCUAUUAUAGGAGAGAUUUUAAAAAUUUCAGAUAUGUGUUGUGAGUUUCUCAUAAUAACAAUGAAAAGGUAUUUUUAUUCCCGAAAAAUUGAGGGUGCAAUUAUGAUAAAAACAUAAAAAUUUAUAGCAAUUUUAAGGUUAUUCUUUAAAUUUUGCAACGUUGAGAGGCAAUUGCCCGCCCUCAACAUACCGCGGCUCUGCCACUGGAUGGUACCACAAUCUUCAGGAUGAUGCAUAAAUGGGACUGGUUGGACGUCUAGGCUAAUACGACUAGGCUAAUAACAAAAACUGUUAUUACAAGAUAUGCUUAAAGAUAUUAACUUCUACUGUUUCUGGAAUGCAGGCUAUGUUGAAAAAAGCUCGCCCUCCAAAGCUAGAUUGGUACGAGGAGUUAUAUGCGUGGGUUAUGGGGAAAUUCAAUAAACGUUACGAGGCUGAGGUUGGUGGUGGUUAUGAGCAGUAAAUUCUUGGUAUGUUGACCAUUUGGUUCAGUAGAAGAAUACUUAUAAAUGCCUAUUUUCUUAUAAGAUUGCAGGCUAUAAGUCUGAACUUUUUGCUAAUCUGAGAGGAAAGGCUAAUAAGAAAACCAUUUUGGUUGCUUCUACGGUGGAAAGUAGGUUGACCUGCCCACCGUAGACAGAGAGAGUGCUAGAAGGACAGCUCAGCACAAGCAUAUCUAUCCAUGUUUUUGGGGCCCAGUUGAGAAUAGGUGACCGGCAAAGCCUUUUUAUCAUCUGAAGGAGCUAAGAGCAAAUACUAAUAUAAAUUGGGUUGGGUGAUUAAAUAAAUUAGUGAAACGAUAGAUGCUAUACUGGAAUAACAAUAAGAGCCAAGUUUGUCCUUUUUGAAUUUGUUAUCAUCUGAGGCGGAGGAAACAGAAGGUGGGAUAAAAAAUUUUCACAUUAAAUUAAAUUAUUUUUUUAACUAAGCAACUAACUUUUAUUUACCUUGUAAUUGUUUUUUAACAUAAUUGGGUUUCACCUUUUUACUUUAUCAUCAAUUGCAUUUUUUGCUUGCUUGUUUCAAUGGAUUUGCUAUCAUUAGAUAAUCCUAUCACAACAAAAUCUUUUAAUUCAGCACUUACUUUUAAGUGUAAAGUUUGAUUUUUACUAUGAUUUGAUUAUCCUUAUCAUUAGAUCAUUUUAAUAUUUAAAAAUUCUCAAAUUUUGACACUAAUUUACUGGUCAAAUUUGUGAUUUAUAGUUUGUCAUGUCCAAUACAACUAGUUGCAGAGUUAGAAUUUAAAUUCAUAACCAUCUAGUUAUUUUAAUAGUUCAAACGUUCAAUCUUUGAAACUUUUGUAUUAUAUGAUUUAUGUUUAUGAUUAUUUUAUCUACAAUCUCAAUUCUAGUUUCUUGGUGUAUUAUGUUAAUUAUAUUUAUGAUUACUUAUCUACAAAUUUGAUAUCAAUUUGAAAGCCACUAUGUUACGUAUAAGAUUACUUAUCUAAUUUCUAAAUUAAAAUUAAAAUCUACCAGGUCAAUUAUGUCACGAUUCUGGUUUUUUGUAACACUGUGUUAAUUAUAUUUCUAAUUAUUCAUCUACAAUUUUGAUUCCAAUUAAAAAAUCACUAUCUAUGAGGACUUAGUUAGAGGGAUCGCUGUUAGUAUAAACUUUUUAAUACCAUUUUCUAAACUUUCAAUUUUAUCCUUAGGGAAAAACUUUUAAUUUUUGCUCUAAUUGUUUAAUCACAUUUUGCCAAUAUAACUACCCUAAGUAUUGUAAUUACCAACUUACUAUAACCUUAUGAACCAAAAUUCUUCAAUAAAUUAUUGUGAAAAAUAAAAUUUUUAUAAAAUUAAUUCCUUUUAAUUAUUUAUGUAUAUAAUUACUCAUCUACGCGAACUAACAAUUAAAUUUAAUCCUUAAGAUUGUAGUACACAUAAAUACAUUUAUGGGCUUUUAACUUACCAAAAUUGCCCUUCAAAUUUUGUCCUUCGCCAAUUUGGCCUGAGAGCUGCUCCCUUAUGUAUAUAAUUACUCAUCUACGCGAACUAACAAUUAAAUUUAAUCCUUGAGAUUGGAGUACACAUAAAUACAUUUAUGGGCUUUUAACUUACCAAAAUUGCACUUCAAAUUUUGUCCUUCGCCAAUUUGGCCUGGGAGCUGCUCCCCAGCUAAUGCCAAUUAUUGGAUAAUCCGACAAACCCAAUUAAUCCAUUCAGAAUUAUCUUCUCCCAAGUCUCUUCUCUCCUCCAUCCUUUUUUUUCAAAAUUUUCAUUUUGUCAUGAUCUUAACUAAUUUUGUUUCAUUAUUAUUAUUAUUAUUGUUGGUUUUAUUUUAUUAUUUUAUUUUCUCUUAGUUUGUUAACUUGCUCAUUUUUUAGCAUUACCAAUUUAUAAUAAGUUUUAGCCUCUUUUUAUAUUCUUAUUAUUCAAUUAUUAAAUAAUAUGUAAUUUUGUGACAUAGAGUAUAAAUGAAAAAAAAUUGGUAAUUAGGCUUAUUGAGCAUUAUAAGUAAAUAUUUAAAACUAAUGAUGGGUACAAAGAGUGGUAUAAAUUGAUAAUUUAGUUUGCAAAAAUGAAUUUAAAUGAGUUUAUAAAAAGUUAAAAUAAAUGGGUUAUAAAUGGAUAAUUGGGUUAUCCAUUUCAUUUUUCCCUUACCCAUUUAUACUCAUUUAAUUAAAUGGGUAUAAAUGAGUUGACUCACUUAUACCCAUUACCCAUUUUACCCAAUCCAAACCCACCAAGUCAUCCAUUUUGACACCUCUAGAUGAAACCAGGAAAUCUUGAGUGAAUAAAUGACUUUCUUGCAUCAAAACCUGAGUUUUGUUAUUAGCUAUUACUGACAAGGUGUUUAACAUACCAGUCCAGUUUUCAGAGUUACUAUCCCGAGUUCAACAUGCCAUGUUGGUGCCAGCUGGGUUAUGGUUAUGAAAUUGGUUUCUUGUUAAUUAUUAUUACAAAAAAUAUUUAUAAUUGGAAAAGAUUCAAUUCUUGCAUACUGAAUAAUAAAUAUUUAUAGGAAAAAUCGUUUAAAAUGUCUUUCACAUUUCGUUAAAUGAAAUAGUAUUUUUCUUAAAGAAAAAAGAAAAAGUUGGUUAAAUUAUAUUAAAAAAGAAUUAAAAAGGAAAAUGCAAUAAAGGAAAAAUGCUUUUGAACCAAUAAAUAGAAUUAAAAAAUUAAAUGACAAAAAUUGGAUAAAUUACUUUAAACAAAAUAGAAAAAAAGAACACUUUAAAAUGUCUUUAAAGACGUCAUUUUAAAAUAAUUGGGGAUGUUGCAUUGGGUCAGGGGAGGUUUUUGCAAUUAUCCCAAAAAACAAUGCAAUCCUCUGCAGAGUGUUUCUCUCACCAACAAGAUAAAUAAUAACCAAGACAGCUAAAAUAUUCUUCUCAUGUGCCAACCUUUCCCUUGAAGAGUGGAUAAGCCUGGUUUAAAUUCAACACGACGUGAGUUAAGAAAAAUUUAUGGCAAAGACCUACAAUUCAAACCGAAAGCCUGAAAUGACAUUUACCAGAAGAUCAAUGUCACAAAAUCACAAAGAAAAGUAUAGGGAUAAUUGCAGAAACCCCCCUGACUUUUAUAGUAAUAGCAUUGACCUCCCCUAUCAAUUUUGAAAUAGCACUGACCUCCCUAUCAAAAGUUGGAGGCAAUUUAAUAGGCAAAAGUGGGUCAAUUUACUAAAGUACCCUUGACAUGAUUUAAUUUUACCAAAUGAAUGUGAUUAGUACUUUCAUCAAACCAACAAAACAUUUGUUAAUAAAAAUUACACUAAAUUAACUAUUUCUGCAUAGUUUAACUAAUUAACUAAAUAACUAAUAUCUAAUUAAUUAAUAACUAAUUAUCUAAUUAACUAUUAACUAAUUAACUAAUUAUCUAAUUGUUAAUAGUUAUUAACUAAUCAAACUAUUUCUGCAUAAUUAAACUAAUUAACUAUUAACUAAUUAUCUAAUUAAUUAAUUAACUAAUUAACUAAUUUCUUUUUAUCUAAUUAACUAAUCUCUAUUUAUCUGAUUAACUAAUUAACUAAAUCUGUUGUCUGUCCGAAACUAAUAAACUAUUUGCAUGUUAAACUAAUUAACUAAUUAGCUGCUUAACUAAUUAACUACCUAAUUAUCUAAUUAAUUAAUUAACUAAUUAACUAAAUUUUGUUUAUCUAAUUAACUAAUUAACUAAAGUUGUUGUCUAUCCGAAACUAACAAACUAUUUGCAUGUUAAACUAAUUAACUAAUUAACUGCUUAACUAAUUAACUAAAACUGUUGUUUGUCCGAAACUAACAAACUAUUUGCAUGUUAAACUAAUUAACUACUUAACUAAUUAACUAACUAAUUAUCUAAUUAACUAAUUAACUAAUUUCUAUUUAUCUAAUUAACUAAUUAACUAAUUAACUAAAACUGUUGUCUAUUCGAAACUAACAAACUAUUUACAUGUUAAACUAAUUAACUAACUAAUUAUCUAAUUAAUUAAUUAACUAAUUAACUAUUUUCUAUUUAUCUAAUUAACUAAUUAACUAAAGCUAUUGUCUGUUCGAAAACUAACAACUAUUUGCAUGUUAAACUAAUUAACUAAUUAACUGCUUAACUAAUUAACUAAUUAAUUAACUAACUAAUUAACAAACUAUUUGCAUGUUAAACUAUAUGCAGUACGCAUUACCUAUUUAAAGUAUCGGCUCUUUAUAGGUAUUUUACUUUCAAACAUUUAAUUUAUAAUAAAAACAUCAAUGUUUGUAAGUAAAAUUCAACAAGUGUUACAAAAAAUAUCAAUAUUCUUACUUUCAAACAUUUAAUUUAUGGCCCUAUGCCCCUCCAUUUUUGUAAGAAUAUUACUGUAACACUUGUUGAAUUUUACUUACAAACAUUGAUGUUUUUAUCAUAAAUUAAAUGUUUGAAAGUAAAAUACCGAUAAAGAGCCGAUACUUUAAAUAGGUAAUGCGUACUGCAUAUAGUUUAACAUGCAAAUAGUUUGUUAAUUAAUUAGUUAAUUAGUUAAGCAAUUAAUUAGUUAAUUAGUUUAACAUGCAAAUAGUUUGUUAGUUUCUGAUAGACAAUAGCUUUAGUUAAUUAGAUAAAUAGAAAUUAGUUAAUUAGUUAAUUAGUUAAUAAUUAAUCAGAUAAUUAGUUAAUUGUUAAUUAGUUUAACUAUUAACUAAUUAGAUAAUUAGUUAAGCAAUUGUCAAGCAAAUAAUAAUUGUCAAGCAAGAAGAGGGCAAAAUUGGAAGAAAUUUCUUAUCUCACUUCUACAAAAGCUGUCAAGGAGGUUUCUGCAACAAAUUGUUACUGUUCAGGGGAGGUGAAUGCAAUUUCUAAACCUAGAGGGGAGGUCAGUGCAAAUCUCAGAAAUCUUAGGGAAGGUUUCUGCAAUUAUCCCAAAAGUAUAAUCUUUUUCUUUCUCAAGUCGAAUGAUAGGAGCAAAGCUAGUCAACAUUCAAAAGAUGCCUUAAAAAAAAUUUAAAAAACAGCAAAUGUCUACACACAAAGGAAAACUUUUCUUUCCCACAUCAUUUGCCCUCUCUGGAAUUUUCCCCCUUUUUGGCUUUAGUUUUCUUAUGAUUAUGAGCACAGCUAAAAAUACUCAGCUACAGUGACAACAUAAUUUUUAAUGUAAUAACCCGUAAUAAUUCACUAUUAUUACAAAAUCAUUGAAACUAGACUACAACCGCCAACUGCUGUAUCUCAAGCUAUAAUUUUUUAAAAUAAAUGAAAAAACAGCUAAGCACAGAAUAAUUCCCAAUCAUUCGUACCAUAUUAUGUAAAAAGAAAGAAGCAAUUAAAAAAUUUGAACUUUACGAGAAUUACUACCAACCCAGAAAUAAAAACUCCUCAAAUGAAGAAUACCGCAUCUGCCACCAAAGAUUCACAAGGACUUGUGAAGCUUAAAAAAAUAAACAAGAAAUGCAAUCCAGCAUUAAAGGACUAAAAAACAAUUUUUUUAGAUAACUAAGCACAUAUUUACAUGAAUGAUGGUGCUGAUGUAAACAAACACAAUGGGCUUACGAAUUUAUUAUUGAUUCUGUUGGGCUUCUGCUGGGGAAAGGAGUGAAGGUAGAGAGUGUGAAUUGUCAGUGUGUAGAAAAUAGAAAUGUGAAUAUAAGAACCCUAAUUUGACGGAGAGGGCGUGAUUAUUUAAGCGUCCUUGUUGCCCUCAAAUUUGGCUUGAUUUCUGGUUGUGUCCCCGUAUAUUUACAGUGCCCUUUGUAAUGGCCCCCGAACAUUUUUUUAAAAAUUUUUAUUACUACAUUAAAGGUGCUUGUUUUGUUUCUAGGGAAAUGACGGAGGAAAAGUAUGAAAAGUGUAAGUGUGUAUUUUUCUUUUUUUCUUGAGUUAGAUAUUUUAACUUAGCUUUAUACUACAAGAGAGUAAUAAAUUCUUAUGUCCUUUCGUAGGUGGAGUAUAAAUAUAUAAUAAGUGAUUCAUUCUGAGUUAUAGGAGCAUGUAACUUAAAAAAAAAAUCGAUUUAUCGAUCAAAUUCGAUUCAAAUUUUGGAAUUCUCGAAAUCAGUAAAGCGAAAAACGAAAAGGAAAUCGGAUUUUUUUAUUUUCAAAAUAUACGAAUUUGGUUUGAAUUUGAGAAUACGUUUUCUCAAAAUGGAAUUUUGGAUUUCGAAUUCACAAUGCGAAAUCGGAAUCGAAUACCUAAUUUGAUAUUCAAUUUCAAAUUUGUAUCUGUUAUAUAUAUUAAUAUAUAUGUAAUAUAAAAAUUUAUAUUAUAUAAUAAUACAUCUAAUUAUAAUUAUAUUAUAAAACAAUACAAUAAUAAGUCUUAUUAAGUUAGUUGGAUAUUAGGUUAUAACUAUAAACUUAUAUUAUACAAAAGUUGGCAUUUAGUUUAGCAAAACUUACAUAUAAUUACAGAAUUAGGUGAAAUCGGUUAUUACCGACUUUCAAAUUGAAUUCGGAAUUUGUGAAAUCGAAUUUGAAAUCAAUCGAAUUUUCUAAUGUCCAAAUUUCCAAAAAUUUAUUACCGAAUUUGAUUUCGAUGCACACUCCUGUUGAGUAAUUUGAACAAAAAAAGAGCUUAUGUAUAGAGGUAAGCUAUACUAGUUUGAUUUUAUGGCUUUUAUUUUCACAUUUCUUUUGUUAUUUACUUCUUAUUUUUCUUGCGUCGCAUUAUAGUUUGAUAGGCACCUAUAUCUUGGGAGAAUACAAGCCAAAUAAUACUUAUGAGGGCACGCAGGAGGUAUUUGUCAAUUUCUUGCUUAUUUUGUGUGGCAAGGUAAGAGGAAAAGUAGUAGCAGCCAAGUUUUAUGCUAAAAGCCGUGUCAAUUAAGGAUUUUGUGAUGAAAGAGGAGUUAAAACUAAGUCAUUGCUCAUGUUUAAUUUUCUUCACCAUCAGUUCUUUCACGUCAAAAAAAAAAGUUGAAAAAUCUUUGCUUUUCACAAGAGGGAUAAGAGUUGGAACAUGGGGACGCAAUUAACACAUUAUGAUUCCACGUUUGCAAAUCCUUUUUGGAAAGCCUCAACUCAUUCGUCAUUAACCACUACCUUAACCAAGUUGGAAGAUCAACUAAUGCAAUAACUUGGGAAAUGGAAAAUCAAUCAAUGAACACAGUCAUCCACUCUCUAGACCUUUGUCUUUCUCGGUCAUGCUCCACAUGGAAAUGUUAUCUACUGUCAUCACCCAAAAGCAAAAAAGGUAACAGGCAUGUUCAAGGUUCGACACUCGAAGAGCUUGCCUUCGCCUUUAAGGAUUUACCUUUCUUUUCUAGAAGAAUCAAGACCAAACAUCAAAUUUUUUUUAAAAUAUUCCAAAAAAUAGUUAAUCCAAAUGGAGCCCUAUACAUUGAAUUUUUUUUUAAAACUUCUACAAGUAAACUAUAGUAAAAUUUUAGACAAACUCCAAAGAACUCACUUUCCAAAAUUGCUUAUGGGUUUCGUAGUGAUUAGCCAUAAACUAGUGGUGGAGUCAUGACCUAUGGUCUGACAAUAAAAUAUUAUACACCUAUAUGAUCACGUAAUUAUUAUGUGAAGAGAAAUUUAAUUAAAAAUUAUGUUUUUACUACGAUUUUUUUGUGUUGUGAAAUUAUUGAAGUUAUUUAUUAUUCAAGUAGUAAUCAAUUUUGUAGUUUAAUAGCUUUAAAACAUUUCUAUUAUAGGAGAGAUAUUUCAAAAAUUGGUUGUCAGAUAUAUAAUGUGUAUGGAAUGAGGUUUCUCAUAAUAUAAGGUGCAAUGAAAAGGGAAAUAUAUUUUAUUCCCGAAAAUUGAGGGGUGCAAUUAUGAUAAAAACAUAAAAAUUUAUAGCAAUUUUAAGGUUAUUCUUUAAAUUUUGCAACGUUGAGAGGCAAUUGCCCGCCCUCAACAUACCGCGGCUCUGCCACUGGAUGGUACCACAAUCUUCAGGAUGAUGCAUAAAUGGGACUGGUUGGACGUCUAGGCUAAUACGACUAGGCUAAUAACAAAAACUGUUAUUACAAGAUAUGCUUAAAGAUAUUAACUUCUACUGUUUCUGGAAUGCAGGCUAUGUUGAAAAAAGCUCGCCCUCCAAAGCUAGAUUGGUACGAGGAGUUAUAUGCGUGGGUUAUGGGGAAAUUCAAUAAACGUUACGAGGCUGAGGUUGGUGGUGGUUAUGAGCAGUAAAUUCUUGGUAUGUUGACCAUUUGGUUCAGUAGAAGAAUACUUAUAAAUGCCUAUUUUCUUAUAAGAUUGCAGGCUAUAAGUCUGAACUUUUUGCUAAUCUGAGAGGAAAGGCUAAUAAGAAAACCAUUUUGGUUGCUUCUACGGUGGAAAGUAGGUUGACCUGCCCACCGUAGACAGAGAGAGUGCUAGAAGGACAGCUCAGCACAAGCAUAUCUAUCCAUGUUUUUGGGGCCCAGUUGAGAAUAGGUGACCGGCAAAGCCUUUUUAUCAUCUGAAGGAGCUAAGAGCAAAUACUAAUAUAAAUUGGGUUGGGUGAUUAAAUAAAUUAGUGAAACGAUAGAUGCUAUACUGGAAUAACAAUAAGAGCCAAGUUUGUCCUUUUUGAAUUUGUUAUCAUCUGAGGCGGAGGAAACAGAAGGUGGGAUAAAAAAUUUUCACAUUAAAUUAAAUUAUUUUUUUUAACUAAGCAACUAACUUUUAUUUACCUUGUAAUUGUUUUUUAACAUAAUUGGGUUUCACCUUUUUACUUUAUCAUCAAUUGCAUUUUUUGCUUGCUUGUUUCAAUGGAUUUGCUAUCAUUAGAUAAUCCUAUCACAACAAAAUCUUUUAAUUCAGCACUUACUUUUAAGUGUAAAGUUUGAUUUUUACUAUGAUUUGAUUAUCCUUAUCAUUAGAUCAUUUUAAUAUUUAAAAAUUCUCAAAUUUUGACACUAAUUUACUGGUCAAAUUUGUGAUUUAUAGUUUGUCAUGUCCAAUACAACUAGUUGCAGAGUUAGAAUUUAAAUUCAUAACCAUCUAGUUAUUUUAAUAGUUCAAACGUUCAAUCUUUGAAACUUUUGUAUUAUAUGAUUUAUGUUUAUGAUUAUUUUAUCUACAAUCUCAAUUCUAGUUUCUUGGUGUAUUAUGUUAAUUAUAUUUAUGAUUACUUAUCUACAAAUUUGAUAUCAAUUUGAAAGCCACUAUGUUACGUAUAAGAUUACUUAUCUAAUUUCUAAAUUAAAAUUAAAAUCUACCAGGUCAAUUAUGUCACGAUUCUGGUUUUUUGUAACACUGUGUUAAUUAUAUUUCUAAUUAUUCAUCUACAAUUUUGAUUCCAAUUAAAAAAAUCACUAUCUAUGAGGACUUAGUUAGAGGGAUCGCUGUUAGUAUAAACUUUUUAAUACCAUUUUCUAAACUUUCAAUUUUAUCCUUAGGGAAAAACUUUUAAUUUUUGCUCUAAUUGUUUAAUCACAUUUUGCCAAUAUAACUACCCUAAGUAUUGUAAUUACCAACUUACUAUAACCUUAUGAACCAAAAUUCUUCAAUAAAUUAUUGUGAAAAAUAAAAUUUUUAUAAAAUUAAUUCCUUUUAAUUAUUUAUGUAUAUAAUUACUCAUCUACGCGAACUAACAAUUAAAUUUAAUCCUUAAGAUUGUAGUACACAUAAAUACAUUUAUGGGCUUUUAACUUACCAAAAUUGCCCUUCAAAUUUUGUCCUUCGCCAAUUUGGCCUGAGAGCUGCUCCCUUAUGUAUAUAAUUACUCAUCUACGCGAACUAACAAUUAAAUUUAAUCCUUGAGAUUGGAGUACACAUAAAUACAUUUAUGGGCUUUUAACUUACCAAAAUUGCACUUCAAAUUUUGUCCUUCGCCAAUUUGGCCUGGGAGCUGCUCCCCAGCUAAUGCCAAUUAUUGGAUAAUCCGACAAACCCAAUUAAUCCAUUCAGAAUUAUCUUCUCCCAAGUCUCUUCUCUUCCUCCAUCCUUUUUUUUCAAAAUUUUCAUUUUGUCAUGAUCUUAACUAAUUUUGUUUCAUUAUUAUUAUUAUUAUUGUUGGUUUUAUUUUAUUAUUUUAUUUUCUCUUAGUUUGUUAACUUGCUCAUUUUUUAGCAUUACCAAUUUAUAAUAAGUUUUAGCCUCUUUUUAUAUUCUUAUUAUUCAAUUAUUAAAUAAUAUGUAAUUUUGUGACAUAGAGUAUAAAUGAAAAAAAAUUGGUAAUUAGGCUUAUUGAGCAUUAUAAGUAAAUAUUUAAAACUAAUGAUGGGUACAAAGAGUGGUAUAAAUUGAUAAUUUAGUUUGCAAAAAUGAAUUUAAAUGAGUUUAUAAAAAGUUAAAAUAAAUGGGUUAUAAAUGGAUAAUUGGGUUAUCCAUUUCAUUUUUCCCUUACCCAUUUAUACUCAUUUAAUUAAAUGGGUAUAAAUGAGUUGACUCACUUAUACCCAUUACCCAUUUUACCCAAUCCAAACCCACCCAAGUCAUCCAUUUUGACACCUCUAGAUGAAACCAGGAAAUCUUGAGUGAAUAAAUGACUUUCUUGCAUCAAAACCUGAGUUUUGUUAUUAGCUAUUACUGACAAGGUGUUUAACAUACCAGUCCAGUUUUCAGAGUUACUAUCCCGAGUUCAACAUGCCAUGUUGGUGCCAGCUGGGUUAUGGUUAUGAAAUUGGUUUCUUGUUAAUUAUUAUUACAAAAAAUAUUUAUAAUUGGAAAAGAUUCAAUUCUUGCAUACUGAAUAAUAAAUAUUUAUAGGAAAAAUCGUUUAAAAUGUCUUUCACAUUUCGUUAAAUGAAAUAGUAUUUUUCUUAAAGAAAAAAGAAAAAGUUGGUUAAAUUAUAUUAAAAAAGAAUUAAAAAGGAAAAAUGCAAUAAAGGAAAAAUGCUUUUGAACCAAUAAAUAGAAUUAAAAAAUUAAAUGACAAAAAUUGGAUAAAUUACUUUAAACAAAAUAGAAAAAAAGAACACUUUAAAAUGUCUUUAAAGACGUCAUUUUAAAAUAAUUGGGGAUGUUGCAUUGGGUCAGGGGAGGUUUUUGCAAUUAUCCCAAAAAACAAUGCAAUCCUCUGCAGAGUGUUUCUCUCACCAACAAGAUAAAUAAUAACCAAGACAGCUAAAAUAUUCUUCUCAUGUGCCAACCUUUCCCUUGAAGAGUGGAUAAGCCUGGUUUAAAUUCAACACGACGUGAGUUAAGAAAAAUUUAUGGCAAAGACCUACAAUUCAAACUGAAAGCCUGAAAUGACAUUUACCAGAAGAUCAAUGUCACAAAAUCACAAAGAAAAGUAUAGGGAUAAUUGCAGAAACCCCCCCUGACUUUUAUAGUAAUAGCAUUGACCUCCCCUAUCAAUUUUGAAAUAGCACUGACCUCUCCUAUCAAAAGUUGGAGGCAAUUUAAUAGGCAAAAGUGGGUCAAUUUACUAAAGUACCCUUGACAUGAUUUAAUUUUACCAAAUGAAUGUGAUUAGUACUUUCAUCAAACCAACAAAACAUUUGUUAAUAAAAAUUACACUAAAUUAACUAUUUCUGCAUAGUUUAACUAAUUAACUAAAUAACUAAUUAUCUAAUUAAUUAAUAACUAAUUAUCUAAUUAACUAUUAACUAAUUAACUAAUUAUCUAAUUGUUAAUAGUUAUUAACUAAUCAAACUAUUUCUGCAUAAUUAAACUAAUUAACUAUUAACUAAUUAUCUAAUUAAUUAAUUAACUAAUUAACUAAUUUCUUUUUAUCUAAUUAACUAAUCUCUAUUUAUCUGAUUAACUAAUUAACUAAAUCUGUUGUCUGUCCGAAACUAAUAAACUAUUUGCAUGUUAAACUAAUUAACUAAUUAGCUGCUUAACUAAUUAACUACCUAAUUAUCUAAUUAAUUAAUUAACUAAAGCUAUUGUCUAUCCGAAACUAACAAACUAUUUGCAUGUUAAACUAAUUAACUAAUUAACUGCUUAACUAAUUAACUAAUUAACUAACUAACUAAUUAACAAACUAUUUGCAUGUUAAACUAUAUGCAGUACGCAUUACCUAUUUAAAGUAUCGGCUCUUUAUAGGUAUUUUACUUUCAAACAUUUAAUUUAUAAUAAAAACAUCAAUGUUUGUAAGUAAAAUUCAACAAGUGUUACAAAAAAUAUCAAUAUUCUUACUUUCAAACAUUUAAUUUAUGGCCCUAUGCCCCUCCAUUUUUGUAAGAAUAUUACUGUAACACUUGUUGAAUUUUACUUACAAACAUUGAUGUUUUUAUCAUAAAUUAAAUGUUUGAAAGUAAAAUACCGAUAAAGAGCCGAUACUUUAAAUAGGUAAUGCGUACUGCAUAUAGUUUAACAUGCAAAUAGUUUGUUAAUUAAUUAGUUAAUUAGUUAAGCAGUUAAUUAGUUAAUUAGUUUAACAUGCAAAUAGUUUGUUAGUUUCUGAUAGACAAUAGCUUUAGUUAAUUAGAUAAAUAGAAAUUAGUUAAUUAGUUAAUUAGUUAAUAAUUAAUCAGAUAAUUAGUUAAUUGUUAAUUAGUUUAACUAUUAACUAAUUAGAUAAUUAGUUAAUUGUUAAUUAGUUUAACUAUUAACUAAUUAGAUAAUUAGUUAAGCAAUUGUCAAGCAAAUAAUAAUUGUCAAGCAAGAAGAAGGCAAAAUUGGAAGAAAUUUCUUAUCUCACUUCUACAAAAGCUGUCAAGGAGGUUUCUGCAACAAAUUGUUACUGUUCAGGGGAGGUGAAUGCAAUUUCUAAACCUAGAGGGGAGGUCAGUGCAAAUCUCAGAAAUCUUAGGGAAGGUUUCUGCAAUUAUCCCAAAAGUAUAAUCUUUUUCUUUCUCAAGUCGAAUGAUAGGAGCAAAGCUAGUCAACAUUCAAAAGAUGCCUUAAAAAAAAUUUAAAAAACAGCAAAUGUCUACACACAAAGGAAAACUUUUCUUUCCCACAUCAUUUGCCCUCUCUGGAAUUUUCCCCCUUUUUGGCUUUAGUUUUCUUAUGAUUAUGAGCACAGCUAAAAAUACUCAGCUACAGUGACAACAUAAUUUUUAAUGUAAUAACCCGUAAUAAUUCACUAUUAUUACAAAAUCAUUGAAACUAGACUACAACCGCCAACUGCUGUAUCUCAAGCUAUAAUUUUUUAAAAUAAAUGAAAAAACAGCUAAGCACAGAAUAAUUCCCAAUCAUUCGUACCAUAUUAUGUAAAAAGAAAGAAGCAAUUAAAAAAUUUGAACUUUACGAGAAUUACUACCAACCCAGAAAUAAAAACUCCUCAAAUGAAGAAUACCGCAUCUGCCACCAAAGAUUCACAAGGACUUGUGAAGCUUAAAAAAUAAACAAGAAAUGCAAUCCAGCAUUAAAGGACUAAAAAACAAUUUUUUUAGAUAACUAAGCACAUAUUUACAUGAAUGAUGGUGCUGUUGUAAACAAACACAAUGGGCUUACGAAUUUAUUAUUGAUUCUGUUGGGCUUCUGCUGGGGAAAUGAGUGAAGGUAGAGAGUGUGAAUUGUCAGUGUGUAGAAAAUAGAAAUGUGAAUAUAAGAACCCUAAUUUGACGGAGAGGGCGUGAUUAUUUAAGCGUCCUUGUUGCCCUCAAAUUUGGCUUGAUUUCUGGUUGUGUCCCCGUAUAUUUACAGUGCCCUUGUAGGAUUUCCAUAUUCUAGAAUGAGAUGAUAGUCCCUGAAAAUGUGAAUGAGACUGACAUCUUCCCAAUUUCUCUUCUUAAGAUGAGAAGCUCACUGGAAAUAGGAUGUGAAACUUCUACACAAGAAGGAAGGAUUAUAUUCAUUUCAUUUGCUGCAUUUAGUGCUACAAGUGCCAAGGGCACUGCUUCACCAGAAAUCAUCCUUCAAUGUUUAUUUUUUUGUAGCUAUCUUCAAACCAUGAAGCUUUCUGUUGUUUUCAAAUCCUUGCGUAGCUAUCCCGCUCUUCGUGUGGUUACUGGCUCUCUACAGUCUCGUGCAUUUCAGCCUGAUUUCAUUCCCAGGGAUCCCAAAUCAAAGCCCGUAAGACACAAGUAUCCAGCUUUCUAUGAUCCUUAUGGCGCUAGACCCCCAUCUUCAGAUAAGAUCAUUCGGCUUGUAGAGCAGAUUGCAGCCCUGUCUCCGAAAGAGCGUAAUUUUAUUGGUCCCACGCUUAGAGACAGACUAAGGCAUCCUAUGAUUCCACCAGUUUUAGUGGAGGGCAUGGACUUGAGUCCUUAUGGAGGGUCUGGUGCUGGGUCUUCAAAGGCUGAGAAGAAAAAUGUCGAAAAAACUGCAUUUGAUGUCAAGUUAGUAAAGUUCGAUGCUGCUGCAAAAAUUAAGGUGAUCAAAGAGGUUCGUGCUUUCACAAAUUUGGGGUUGAAGGAAGCCAAAGAUUUAGCUGAGAAAGUACCAGUUUUAAUUAAGCAAGGUAUCACUAAAGAAGAGGCAAAUGAUAUUAUAGAGAAGAUUAAGGCUGUAGGGGGAGUUGCUGUUAUGGAGUAGAUUUUCACCGAGUUUUGUAUGCUUUCUUUGAACUGUUAUCAAAGUUCUAUUGCCAGUUUUUUGCUCUGAUAGACAAACAAUUGUCAUUCUGAAGAUGUUGUUCUUGCAUAUUCAAAAGAAUGAAACUUUCCUUGCUAGGUAGAGGAGGACCAUUAUGUUUUCCUUCAAAUUUGGUUUUCAUACUUGAUAUUUUGUGCUGACCCUUAAUGGGAUUUUGGGAUACGAAUGGGCCACCAGGGAAGUUGGCUUAACAGAUGUCUGGUUUGUGUAAAAUUGCUGGUGUAUGAUAUUGGAAUUAUUGCUGAUUUAGCUGUGAUUGCAACUUACAGGUAGUCUGUUUGGUUCAGCAUUUUAACAUGGCGGCUGACUUUUCAGUGGCCGCAAAUGGCCUCUGUCCAUUUUUGAGAUGUCCAAACAGUUACAUAUCAGGCUUUUGCCAGGUAUGAAAAUUUUGGAAUUGAAUUAUGAACUCUCAGCAUGCGAUUUUCACUUAACUGAUCCCCAGCAAUUAACAGACCCACACUCUAGUAGAUAACAUAUUUAGCCACUUCAUGCAAUAUUUGAGAAUUUUCUUGCGCAAAUAUGAGAUGUGUAACCUUCAUUGUUGUAGUCGAAUAGCAUUCCUAAUUGACCAAUUGUUACAGGUCAAUCAGUUGAUCUUAACCUGAAAGCAGUAGUAGAGUAAAUAAACAUGAUUGUGGUCCAAGUCUUCAGUUCUUUGGCCAGAUGAUAGUUAAUAUACGAUUAUGGUCUUGAUUGUUCAAUUCUUUGGAUGGAUGGAUGGAACUUUAGGGAAAUUGUUCAUUUAAUAAAUAUGUUUGGUCUUGAUUCUUCUAGAAAAGAAAGGUAAAUCCUUAAAGGCGAAGGCAAGCUCUUCAAGUGUUGAACCUUGAACAUGCAUGUUACCUUUUUUGCUUUUGGGUGAUGACAGUAGAUAACAUUUCCAUGUGGAGCAUGACCGAGAAAGACAAAGGUCUAGAGAGUGGAUGACUGUGUUCAUUGAUUGAUUUUCCAUUUCCCAAGUUAUUGCAUUAGUUGAUCUUCCAACUUGGUUAAGGUAGUGGUUGAUGACGAAUGAGUUGAGACUUUCCAAAAAGGAUUUGCAAACGUGGAUUCAUAAUGUGUCAAUUGCGUCCCCAUGUUCCAACUCUUAUCCCUCUUGUGAAAAGCAAAGAUUUUUCAACUUUUUUUUUUGACGUGAAAGAACUGAUGGUGAAGAAAAUUAAACAUGAGCAAUGACUUUGUUUUAACUCAUCUUUCAUCACAAAAUCCUUAAUUAACACGGCUUUUAGCAUAAAACUUGGCUGCUACUACUUUUCCUCUUACCUUCCACAGAAAGUAAGCAAGAAAUUGACAAAUACCUCCUGCGUGCCCUCAUAAGUAUUAUUUGGCUCGUAUUCUCCCAAGAUAUAGGUGCCUAUCAAACUAUAAUGCGACGCAAGAAAAAUAAGAAGUAAAUAACAAAAGAAAUGUGAAAAUAAAAGCCAUAAAAUCAAACUAGUAUACUUACCUCUAUACAUAAGCUCUUUUUUUUGUUCAAAUUACUCAACAGGAGUGUGCAUGCAUCAAAUCAAAUUCGGUAAUUUGGAAUUUUAAAUUUGAAGUUUUUGGAAAUUUGGACAUUAGAAAAUUGAUCGAUUUCAAAUUCGAUUUCACAAUUCCAAAUUCAAUUUGAAAGUCGGUAAUAACCGAUUUCACCUAAUUCUGUAAUUAUAUGCAAGUUUUGCUAAACUAAAUGCCAACUUUUGUAUAAUAUAAGUGUGUAGUUAUACCAUAAUAUAUAACUAACUUAAUAAGACUUAUUAUUGUAUUGUUUUAUAAUACUAUUAUAAUUAGAUUUAUUAUUAUAUAAUAUAAAUUUUUAUAUUACAUAUAUAUUAAUAUAUAUAACACAUACGAAUUUGAAAUUGAAUAUCAAAUUAGGUAUUCGAUUCCGAUUUCGCAUUACGAAUUCGAAAUCCAAAAGUUCAUUUUGAGAAAACGUAUUCUCAAAUUCAAACCAAAUUCGUAUAUUUUGAAAAUAAAAAAAUUUGAUUUCCUUUUCACUUUUCGCUUUACCGAUUUCGAGAAUUCCAAAAUUCGAAUCGAAUUCGAUGAAAAUCGAUUUUUUUUAAGUUACAUGCUCCUAUAACUCAGAAUGAAUCACUUAUUAUAUAUUUAUACUCCACCUACGAAAGGACAUAAGAAUUUAUAACUCUCUUGUAGUAUAAAGCUAAGUUAAAAUAUCUAGCUCAAGAAAAAAAGAAAAAUACACACUUACACUUUUCAUAUUUUUUUUCCGUCAUUUCCCUAGAAACAAAACAAGCACCUUUAAUGUAGUAAUAAUAAUUUAAAAAAAAUGUUCGGGGCCAUUACAAAGGGCACAGUAAAUAUAUGGGGACACAACCAAAAUCAAGCCAAAUUUGAGAGCAACAAAGACGCUUAAAUAAUCGCGCUCUCUCCCGUCAAAUUAGGGUUCUUAUAUUCACAUUUCUAUUUUCUACACGCUGACAAUUCACACUCUCUACCUUCACUCCUUUCCCCAACAGAAUCAAUAAUAAAGUCGUAAGCCCAUUGUGUUUGUUUACAUCAGCACCAUCAUUCAUGUAAAUAUGUGCUUAGUUAUCUAAAAAAUUGUUUUUAGCCCUUAAAUGCUGGAUUGCAAUUCUUGUUUAUUUUCUUAAGCUUCACAAGUCCUCGUGAAUCUUUGGUGGCAGAUGCUGUAUUCUUCAUUAGAGGAGUUUUUAUUUCUGGGUUGGUAGUAAUGCUCGUAAGUUUCAAAUUUUUUAAUUGCUUCUUUCUUUUUACAUAAUAUGGUAUGAAUGAUUGGGAAUUAUUCUGUGCUUAGCUAUUUUUUUCAUUUAUUUUAAAAAAUUAUAGCUUGAGAUAUAGCAGUUGGCGGUUGUAGUCCAGUUUCAAUGAUUUUGUAAUAAUAGUGAAUUAUUACUGGUUAUUACAUUAAAAAUUAUGUUGUCUCUGUAUUUUUUAAAUUAUCCCCAAAAAAAAACAAUAAAAGAAGGCGAUUGGGAAAGCCAUAAAGGAGCCAGACACUGGUAAAGUAAUUUACGGGGCCAAAGAGUAAAAUCAAUAAAAAAAAGACAUUAUUGGAAAACGGGCACUUAAAUAUCCGUCAGGGUUCUUAUUCGCGUUUGCACAUGCAGAUGCUUCUCACUGUCCUUCUCUGUAUUUGUUUAUUCAACCCACAAAAUCAACAAAAAAUUGGUAAGUUCAUUUGUUUGUUUAUUUAGCUGUGAAGGAUUUUUCCCCCUGUUAAAUGGAUGAUUUAUUUAUGUUUUAAUUUCUUGAUCUUGAUUGUAGCUUGUGAACCUUUCGUUGCUAAUGCCAUAUUGUGUCUCUCAGGAGUUCUUUAUUUCUUGGUGGUUAGCUUUUCUCCAUAAAGUUUAUAUUUUGUUAUAACAAUUUGUUUCUGGUGAUUGGAUUUUAUUUUGUGCUUAGACCUAUUGAAGUUCGAUGAAAUUGUUAGUUCUGGAGCCUGAGUUAUUUAUUUUAUUUUAUUUUAUUUUUCGGCUGGAACUGGUCUGAAACUCGAAUGAAGAUGGAUGUAAAAUUUGUUCCCUAAGAUGGCUGUUAAGGUUUCUUUUGCAUAUGAGUCAACUAUAAAUGAAAAUAAUCCGAAAGUACUUCCACUUGUUCCUUAAGCCCUCGAAUGCCUUUCCUAGUUUUUCUUUCUCCUUUGAUCUAUUGAGACAUUGGAUAGUUUGGAUUUUGAACAAGAAAAUCUUGCAAGGGUACUCAAUAUUGAAUCGAUUGGUAUAUUUUGCACAUUAUCUUUUCAUAAGGGUUAGGUUCAUUCCAUAAGUCGACCACUCUCUUUAAAGAUUGUUCCUUUGUAAUAUUUGAUUGCAAGUAAGAAUGCAGCCUAAUACCAAACUUAAUCCAAAAAAACGUUGCUUAGUAUUUAAUUUGUUGUAUGCCUAGUCUGCCAUGCUCUGGGUAUAUGCAUGGAAGUCAAUUCCUAGAAUGCUACCAUUUACCAAAACAGUCUUGCGUGGUCUUCUUUCCCAAAGCACAUUCAUGCAAAAAAUAUUUAUCAAGCAUGGUAGCCAAUGGCUUCACAUUGGUGGACUGAAAAUUUAUGAGUUGUAAACGGCUUGCAAUACUGGAUGUCAUAUUGUUGAUUAGUCUUCUUAUUCCAGUAGUAUUUCCAUAUUCCAGAAUGAGAUGAUAGUCCUUGAAAAUAUAAAUGAGACUAACAUCUUCCCCAUUGCUCUUCUUAAGGUGAGAAGCUCACUGGAAAUAGGAUGUGAAGCAUCUACACAGGAAGGAAGGAUUACAUUCAUUUGCUGCAUUUAGUGCUACAAGUGCCAAAGGGCACUGCUUCACCAGAAAUCAUCCUUCAGUGUUUAUUUUUUUGUUGCUAUCUUCAAACCAUGAAGCUUUCUGUAGUUUUCAAAUCCUUGCGUAGCUAUCCCGCUCUUCGUGUGGUUACUGUCUCUCUACAGUCUCGUGCAUUUCAGCCUGAUUUCAUUCCCAGGGAUCCCAAAUCAAAGCCCGUAAGACACAAGUAUCCAGCUUUCUAUGAUCCUUAUGGCCCUAGACCCCCACCUUCAGAUAAGAUCAUUUGGCUUGCAGAGCAGAUUGCAGCCCUGUCUCCGAAAGAGCGUAAUUUUAUUGGUCCCACGCUUAGAGACAGACUAAGGCAUCCUAAGAUUCAACCAGUUUUAGUGGAGGGCAUGGACUUGGGUCCUGAUGGAGGGUCUGGUGCUGGGUCUUCAAAGGCUGAGAAGAAAAAGGUCGAAAAAAUUGCAUUUGAUGUCAAGUUAGUAAAGUUUGAUGCUGUUGCAAAAAUUAAGGUGAUCAAAGAGGUUCGUGCUUCCACAAAUUUGGGGUUGAAGGAAGCCAAAGAUUUAGUUGAGAAAGUACCAGUUUUAAUUAAGCAAGGUAUCACUAAAGAAGAGGCAAAUGAUAUUAUAGAGAAGAUCAAGGCUGUAGGGGAGUUGCUGUUAUGGAGUAGAUUUUCAUCGAGUUUUGUAUGCUUUCUUUGAACUGUUAUCAAAGUUCUAUUGCCAAUUUUUCGCUCUGAUAGAGAAACAACUGUCAUUCUGAAGAUAUUGUUCUUGCUGUUAAUCGUCAAAAGAUACGAAUUGCAAACAAACGGAUGUUACUAAUAAUCUUUGAAGAGAAUCCUUUCAGAAAUGGCACCAAACAGGUCUGAGGUCUUAGAGCAAAAUGAAGAUAAAAAAGGUGAAAAGCACUGAGGAAGAUGUCGGACGCACAAAAGGAGAGUAUCAGACGUCCGACAUCCAUUGAGUAUCUUCGGACGAAUGAAGAACUCAGACUUGGACGUCCGAAGAAGGCAAUCCAGGGCUUCUACAACUACUGAUCAGGAUCGGACGCUCAACACCUGAGCAUCGGACUUCCGACAAGCAUUGCUGCUCUUCGGACGCAACAUCUUGGAUGUAUCGGCCGUCCGAAAGAAUUAAAGAGGAACCUCCAAGUUUGCAUCUUACCCUCGGACGCAUGGCGAGAAGGGAUCGGACGUCCUAAGUGGGUCAAGAAAAUUUCUCGAACUCACUGACCUCGCUCGGACGCAUAAAAACUGACUACCGGACGUCCGACAGCACCAAUGGCUAGUUGACUCUUCAGAUGCCUUCUACCCAUUGACAGCAUUAAUUGAAGAAUUUUCUGAUCUCCUAUAAAAAGAACAAAGUCAACCACCUCAGAAGAACUUUACACAUUAAGUUUACAUCAGAUCUUGAGUGAUUCAAGUGUGUGAAUACUCCAAAAAGAAGAUUUGUACUCUUAGUUGUGUAAUCUUCUUUUAACUUUUCAAGUGUGAUCUAAUUUCAUCAAUAGUGUAGCUUUGUGAGGGUUAUCCGUGUGAUUGUAAAACUUCUUUGCUUGUUCGAGUGAGACUUGAGGCAAGAAGGAAAUGAUCCUUCGUUUGUACACAAGAGAUUGGUUGAAAGUUGAUCUACUGUGAAAUAGCUUGAUACAUAUACAAAGUGUUGUUCAAACUUAGUCAAGUUUGAAAUUUGGUUUGCAAAUUCCAUCCUCUCAUUUAUUGUCUUGAUAUAAAUUGCUUACUUGUUCUACUUACAAACUAUUUGUACUAAUCCAUCAACUGGUUUUCAGUAAGGUUCCUUUGAAAAAGAAAUCCAGGUCAAAGAAAAGGAGGAAAGGUGUCUCAUAUCUUGGCCUGAUUUUUAGUUAACCUAAUUCACCCCCCUCUUAGGUUGUCUUCGAUCCUUACAAUUGGUAUCAGAACUUGGUCUCCUUGAGGCUAAGCUCAAUCGGCUUGGGAGUAAAAAAUGACAACCAACAAUGCCAUGUUCUUUGAGGGACAAUCUGUCACCAGACCUCCUAUGUUCAAUGGGUCAAACUAUGUGAGCUGGAAGGAGAGGAUGAUCAUCUUCUUACAAUCUAUUGAUAUUGAGCUAUGGUUUAUUGUCAAUGAAUGACCGUUUGAUACUUCUACUAUAUUGAUGCAGAGACGAACAGGCCGAGAUCAAAAACAAGAAGGGAACUAACUGCUGAAGACAGAACUCAUCUUACUCUAAAUGCCAAGGCGAUGAACAUUCUGUACAGUGCUUUAGACUCAAACGAAUCUGUUAGAGUCAAGGGCUGCAAAUCUGUAAAAGAAAUCUGGGAUAAAUUUUGAGAAAUACAUGACAGAAGUGAAAAUGUGAGAGAACAGAAGAAGUCCAUUCUGGUCACGAAGUAUGAAUCCUUCAAAAUAGAACCUCACGAAAAUAUCGACAAGAUGUAUUGCAGAUUCAAUGAUCUUAUUAAGGAUUUAGAAGUUCUUGAGAAAGAUUACUCUCUAGGUUAGAAAAACAGAAAAAUUCUGAAUGCUUUGUCAAAGGAUUGGGAGAGCAAAGUAACUGCCAUUGAGGAAGCCAAAGAUCUGAACACUCUAUCUAUUGAAUCCCUUAUAAAUUCAUUAACCUCUUAUGAGUUAAAACUCAAGUCUAAGGUGUAGGAAGAAAAGACACAAAAGUUAGAAAAAGCAUAGCUCUGAAGACCUUACAAGAAGAAGAUGAUACAAUCUCACUUGAUGAAGAUGACAUGGAAGGUGAUGACAGUGACAUUGCACUCAUCACACGAGGCUUCAAAAGAAUAUUCAAAAAGAGAAGAUUCAGAAAAGGAGGACAUAGCAAUUCCUUUCCAAAUCAGACCAACAGUUUCAGAAAUAAAGGAAAGCUAGAAUUCAACAAAAAGCAAACUGACAAGUGUUUUGAAUGUGGCCAACCUGGACACUAUGCAAAUGAGUGUCCAAUGGAGAAAAAGAAGGAGAACAAGGUUGAACGAAAACCAAAGUUCAACAAUUUCCAAAUCACCUGGAAUGAUUGCAACUCAGAAGGUGAAGUUGAGGAAGAAGAAGAAUCUGCUCAAGUGGCUUUCAUGGCCAUUGGAGAUGAAGAGGUAACUUAAUGCAACUCUCAAACUGAUAGUGAUAGUGAUUCUGAUGAAGAUGUUAAUUCUUUUCUAGAAAAAAUGCACAACAAUUUAAAAGAAUCAUAUGUUAGAAACAAGGAACUAAAACAGAAAGUUAGCUUUCUAUUACAAGAUAAUGCAAAUCUUUUUCAACAAAACAAGGGUCUUCAGCAUGAAAAUGAGAACCUGAAAAGGAUUGAAACUGAUGUGCUUGCUGAACUUGACAAAAGGACAAGAUUCUGUAACAUAUUCAGAAGUGAACAAUGCAGUCUAAAUAGGAGGAUGGAUGAUUUAUGUCAAUUGUUGCAACAAAUAAAACAGACCGCCUUCAGAAAAACAACACUGAACCUCAUCUUAACACUCAUCAGACAAGAUUGAAUUAUAGUAAAAAUGAGUUUAAUAUCUACAGGAGAAGGCAAGUCAAAUUUAUUAAACCUGUUCAUUUGAUUGAUCUAAUAACUGUAUGCAAUUUUUGUUGUCAAUUUGGUCACAUGAGUAGCAACUGCUAUGUUUAGAAAAACAUGAGAAAUGGAAUGAGAUGCAUGUGGAUUGUUAGACAUAAUGCUAACCAUGAAGGACCCAAAAAGUAAUGGGUACCAAACAUUAUAUUGUGGACUUCUGUGUAGGUAAAACUGGUGAACAUUGUUAAAGAAUCAAAAUGAUUCAUAGAUAGUGGUUGCUCAAGACAUAUGACUGGUGAUGCAUCCCGGUUCAUCAAGCUCAAGCCAAAAACAAGUGGAAAGGUUACCUUUGGAGACGAUAAUAAAGUCAAAACUAUUGGAGUUGGUGAUGUUGGUAAGAAUGGUCAGACUUUUGUUCAUAAUGUUCUUUUAGUUGAUAACUUGGGCUACAAUUUGCUAAGUGUUAGCCAACUAUGUGAUAGGAAUCUGCUUGUAUUAUUUAAGAAACAUGAAUGCCUUGUUCUUGACUCAAAGUUUAACAUUAUUUUCAAGGGAAAAAGAGUUAAUGAUAUUUAUGUGGUGUUUCUUGAAAAAGUUGAUGCUUCUAGCCUUAGUUGUCUCAAAGUUGCAAAUGAGGAUCCCUGGUUAUGGCACAGAAGGCUUUGUCACUUCAAUAUGGAUUUGCUGAAAGAGAUUUCCAAAAAGGACCUGAUUAGAGGCUAUCAAAACUCAAUUUUUGUAAAGAUCGCAUCUGUGAUGCUUGCCAAUUUGAAAAACAAGUUAAGAUAUCUUUUAAACCAAAAAAAUGUAUUUCAACCUCUAAGCCCUUAGAACUUCUUCAUCUUGAUCUUUUUGGCCCAACUCAAACCUCAAGCCUUGGUGGGAAGAGAUUCUGUUUUGUUGUUGUUGAUGACUAUUCUAGAUACACUUGGGUGAUGUUUCUUGCACAUAAAGAUGAUGCUUUCAAAAACUUUGUUUCCCUGUUUGCAAGGUUCAAAAUCUGAUUGGUUUAAAAAUCAUAAAAAUAAGAAGUGACAAUGGCACAGAAUUUCAUUUUUGUGAUUUUCCUGAAUUUUGUGACAACAACGGUAUUACACAUGAAUUUUCUAUUGCAAGAGUACCUCAGCAAAAUGGAGUGGUUGAGAGGAAAAAUAGAACUCUUCAAGAAGCUGCUAGAACCAUGCUCAGUGAAUGCAAUUUGCGAAAGUACUUUUGGGCUGAAACCAUAAACACAGCAUGUUAUACCGUGAACAGAGUUCUCUUAAGACCAAUUUUGAACAAAACUUCCUAUGAGCUCAUGUUUGACAAAUAGCCUGUUGUUGGUUACUUUAAAGUCUUUGGUUGUAAAUAUUUUAUCUUGAACAUCAAGGAACAUCUUGGAAAGUUUGACAAGAAAUCUGAUGAGGGAAUUUUCUUGGGAUAUUGUGAAAACAAGAGAGACUUUAGAGUUUAUAAUCGUAGAACUCUGGUUAUAGAAGAAACCAUACAUAUCACUUUUGAUGAAUCUAAUGGUGAUACUUCCAUGAGUUGCGGUGAAGAUGAUGAUACAGGUGUUCGAGAUGAACUAAAGAAGUUGACGAUCAGCAAUCAAGACACAGCCCCAUCAGAAAAUGAUUCAAAGGAUGAUGAAAAUCAAGACAGUCCUGCUAGAGAAGACAAUGACAGUGAUACUGAAAUUCCUAGUGAUUUUCCAAGAGCCUGGAAAUUUGUCCAAAAUCACCCCAAGGAACUUAUCAUUGAGGAUCCAUCUGAAAAGGUCAGAACACGUUCCUUUUCAAGACAAUUAAUAGAUAACUUUGCAUUGGUCUCACAUUUUGAGCCCAAAAAUGUUGUUGAUGCAUUAAAAGAUGAGAACUGAAUUUUAGCCAUGGAAGAGGAGUUAAAUCAAUUUGAAAGAAACAAGGUCUGGACAUUAGUUGCUAGACCACAAAAUCACUCCAUUAUUGGCACUAAGUGGGUUUUUAGAAACAAAAUGAAUGACAAAGCUGAGGUAGUUAGAAAUAAGGCCAGAUUGGUAGCCAAGGGAUACACUCAAGAAGAAGAAAUAGAUUUUGAUGAAUCUUUUACACCCGUAACUAGGUUAGAAUCUAUUAGAAUGUUUUUAGCUUUUGCAUGUUUCAAGUACUUUAAGUUAUUUCAAAUGGAUGUUAAAAGUGUCUUCUUAAAUAGUUUUAUUGAUCAAGAAAUUUAUGUUGAUCAACCUCCUGGUUUUGAAAAUGAAAAUUAUCCAAAUCAUGUUUUCAAACUCUCAAAAGCCUUAUAUGGCAUAAAACAAGCUCCAAGAGCAUGGUAUGAACGUUUGAGUGAUUUUUUGAUUGAAAAUGGUUUCAAAAAAGGUAUAGUGGAUACUACCCUUUUCACUAAACAAAGUUUGCAUGAUUUUCUAAUUGUUCAAAUUUAUGUUGAUGAUAUCAUAUUUGGUGCUACUAAUGAGAGAUUGUGCAAGGAUUUCUCCGAGAUCAUGCAAAAAGAGUUUGAAAUGAGCAUGAUGGGAGAACUUAGUUUCUUCCUUGAACUCCAAGUGACACAAGCCCAAGAAGGAACAUUCAUCAAUCAAACCAAAUACACCAAGAAACUGCUGAAAAGAUUUGGUAUGAAGGACUCAAAGCAAGUUGGAACACCCAUGUGAACAUCUGUCAAGCUUGACAAAGAUGAAGAAGGUACAAAAGUUGAUGAAAAGAAGUAUAGAGGUAUGAUUGGUAGCCUGCUUUAUUUAACUGCGAGUAGACCUGAUAUCAUGUUUACUGUGUGCUUGUGUGCUCAUUUUCAAUCUUGUCCAAAGGAAUCACAUUUAACUGCUGUAAAACGAAUCUUUAGAUACUUAAAAGGAACUGUGAAUUUUGGCCUUUGGUAUGCUAAAUGUUAUGAACUUCCCUUGUAUGGAUUCUCUGAUGCUGAUUUUGGUGGCUGUAGAGUAAAUAGAAAAAGUACAACUGGUAUAUGUAAUUUUCUUGGAAAUUGCUUAGUGUCCUGGUUCAGUAAGAAACAGAACGCCAUUUCAUUAUCUACCACCGAAGCAGAAUAUGUUGCUGCUGGUGCCUAUUGUGCUCAAUUAUUGUGGAUGAAAAACACAUUGAAUGAUUUCAGUUUAGUAUAUAAUUCUGUACCUAUGUUUUGUGACAACACUAGUGCCAUCAAUUUGACAAAAAAUCCCAUUCAACAUUCUAGGACAAAGCAUAUAGAUAUUAAGCAUCACUUCAUUCGUGAUCUUGUCCACAAGGGUGAAAUUUGUAUUCAAUACGUCUGUUCCAAAGAUCAAAUUGCUGAUAUUCUCACAAAAAUCCUUCCACUGGAUCAUUUUGUAUAUCUGAGAACAAAACUGGGCAUCUCAAAAAAAUCCUCUAAGUUUCCAUUUGGUCACUUCUUAUCAAAUGUCCGAUACAUUUAGGGCUGACAACGGGUCGGGUCCGGGCCGAAAUUCAUUAUUCCAGAUCCGGACCCGAAUUACUAUACCGGAUCCGGAUCCGACCCGUUUAUCCGACGGAUCUUUUAUUCUAUGUUCCGGAUCCAGAUCCGGCGGGUCUCGGAUCCGGGUCGGUCUACCCGAACAAAUUUAGCAAAAUUUAUGAUUUCUAAUAAAAAUGAGAAAAAAAAUAUAUUUGUAAACUAAUUUCUAACUAAUGCAAAGAAAAACCAAAUAAGAAAAGAAAUCAAAUUGACUUUAUUCAAAUACAUCAUCCUAAUCAAAUUAUAUUAAUGAAUAUAUAUUUUUUAAAUUAUUAAUUCAUUUAUAUUCGGAUUCGGAUCUAAUACGGGUCGAAAUACUAUAUUCCGUAUCCGACUCAUUUUUUUGUUUGACAAAACGGAUCCGGAUCAGGAUCCGGGUAACGAAAUUAAAUCCCUACCCAUACCAGCAAUAAUUUUACGAAUCAGGUCCGGAUCCGGGUCUAGACCCGACCCAUUGACAGGCUUAGAUACAUUCAAAACGGACGUCCGACAGUGUUCUUCACUCUCUUCUGGAAAGGCACUGGUUCGGACGGUUGUGUCAGAUGUUCACUUCAUUCGGACGUCCGACACUCAAAAAUUGAGCCUUAUAAGACAGUUACCCACCUCACUCAGUUCAUUUUCCUCCACGGUCUCGGACGCAACCCUUCAGUCUCCUCUCAAAUUUAAAAUUCAAAUUCCUCUCUCCUCAAAUCAAGUUCCAAGAAAUUGACUCAACCAACGGCCUUACAACUCUGUUGCCCGUUAACCACCCGUAAAAAUCACUCCUAACCCCCAACUACCCCAUUGUUCCCAAUUCACAUCCGAAACCCUAAUUUCUUAUAACUCUCUCCUUGUGACAUUUCAGUGCAUUCUCACUUUUUGUUCAUACUGCAUUCUUCCUCUGAACCACACAUUCUGCAUCAAAAACACAUCCACAUUGCAUCAUGGUUAGAAUCAGAGGAGGAUCUACUAGUGCCGGACGGUCCUUUAGACUUAGAGAUGAAGACAUUGAAAUUGUGGAACCGUCUACCAAAAUACCUAAAAGGAAGAUUGUGACCCAAGGUGGUAAAGUGAGGCAAACUGCCCAAAGAAAGAGGGUUACUCCAACUGCUGAACCAUCUGAUGAGCAGAUAGAAGAGCAGAACUCUGAUGAAAUCACAGUUGGUGGAAAUGAGGAACCAGAACAAGCUAUCCAGAAUGUUGAAUCUAUCUCAAGGCCAUCUGGUAAAAGAAAAAGAACAGCAAAGAAGAAGAGCACUCUCCAAUCCAAGAAAAAGCAAUCUGCUGAUCCCUCUGAUGAUCAGCAGAAUGAGGGAAACAUUGCUGAGACUCAGCAAACACCUGAACCCUCCACCAGGAAAUCUCCAAGGACAAGGACUGAGGCUUAAAAUGUUGGGUCAUCUGGCACACAAACCUCAAAUACGAAACGUUCUGGAAAGGUUCCUGUUUCUCAGCCCAUAGAAGAACCCACUCCUUUCCCCAAAUUCAUUGAUGAUGAAACCAGAGACAGAUUUGAGUUAGUCUCUCAAAAAGGAUUCAUCACCCAAAGGCUCAUCCUUCCAUAUGAAUUUCGUAAACUUGAUCUUGAACCUGUUAUUAAACUGUUUGAAUUCCAAAAAUGGACUCACAUUCUGACCAUUACUCAUGUCUUUUACCCUGACAUGCUUUAUCAAUUCUUUGCUAAUCAUAGAAAGGGUAAAUCACACAUUGAACUCAUCUCUAGGGUCAACUCUAUAGACAUUACGUUAACUCCUGACAUUGUGAAUUCCAUUCUGAAAACUAGUAUUGAAUCUAGUUUCAAAGGAAAAAUUGCAAAUUUCUUUUCGUAUGAGGAGUUUCCUUCUGCCUACCAUCAUUUUUACAAUGCUAAACUCAUGACCUAUUUUCAAACCCACUUCAAUACUCCUGUUGAGGUAAGAUUAGAUGAUCUCAGUCCUCAGAAUCUAAUCAUUUUCACCAUCAUUUCGAAUCUGUUGGUGCCAACUGAUGGCCACAGAACAGAUGCAAACAAAAAGAAACUUUAUCUUUUCUACUGCUUUGUUGAAAAAAUCCGCAUUGAUUUUGGAUUUGUAAUGUGCAAGUUUCUGCUCAAAAUUAGCACUGACAGUCGUAGGAAGCUCUCUUAUGGCAGAUUUCUGACCCCUAUCUUUACCCAUUUUGAAAUAACUUUUUCUAGAAAAUCUCCCAAAGACAGUGCUUCAUCAGUUUUCUCAAAAGCUUAUUUUGAAAGAAAGAACUUAAAAUUUUUUGAAGGCCAUUGGUGCUAUAAGGAGACUAUGGCUGAGUCUAGAAGGAAAAACUUCCAUGAAACCCCUAUCACUCCUAAGGCUCCUCGUGAUCAGUCAGGUUAUAUCUCUCAUUUCACCAUUCAUCCUAGAAAGUCUGCCAGCAAGUCCUUCGCAUCCAAUUCUGAAAUCAUCUCCUUGCUUGAAGACCUAAAACAGCAUGUUAUGCUUAUUGAAGAUGGUCUCAUGAUGACUAUGACCCCUGCCCAACAAUCUUCCUUUAUGGAAAAAAGGAACCUUUCUUGUGCCUCCAAUACCUGAAAAUAAUGAAAAUGCUCAUCAGAAAGAGCCAAGACCUGAACCCACAGGGCCAACUACUGGUACUGAUGCCACACCAGCUUCCAGCUCUCAGCCCAAGGAUAAAGGCAAGGCUCCAGCUACUGUGGAGGCAUAUGAAGAAGACGAUGAAGAAACUGAAGAAGAAGAGGAUCCUGAACAGUUUCGUCUUGCCAGAAGGAGGCCUGGAUCAUCUAAAAUCACUAUCUAGGCACUGCUAGGUCACUGCACUUUAUUUUAGACUUGUGGUUCAUCUUUUGCACUACAGAACUUUUCGUUUGUUAUGUACUAAGAAUUAUAUUUCUGGUCUACUUUUCGUACAAUUGGAUGUUUUCUACUAUUUUUGAUGUUAUCUGCUAUGAAUAGCUACGUUUCUGUGUUUGUUAUGAAUGAAUGUGUUUCUGUGUUUCUGGGCAUGAAUGGACUUUUCUGAUAUUAUCUGAUCUUUGUUGUCAAAAUUUUUAUUGCUAAUGGAUCACUGAUGACAAAAUUGAUCAGUUCUAAAGAAAUUGAUCAUGGCAAACCUGCUUUUGUGAUGACAAAAAGAGGGAGAAAUGUACUAGCACUAAUGGUAUAAAGAAAUUAGUUAGGGGUGUCAGUUUUAGGGAGAGGUGCAUUUCUUUUCGUAUACUCAUUGCACUUUGUUAGGGGGAGCUGUUAUCCCAGUUUGUAUUUCUUUUUGCUCUAUCCAUGUGUUUUGUCAUCAUAAAAAAGGGGGAGAUUGUUUAUCCAAUUCAUAUCUUUUGAUGAUUAACAAAACAAACGGAUGUUACUAAUAAUCUUUGAAGAGAAUCCUUUCAGAAAUGGCACCAAACAGGUCUGAGGUCUCAGAGCAAAAAGAAGAUCAAAAAGGUGAAAAAUACUGAGGAAGAUGUCGAACGCACAAAAGGAGAGUAUCGGACAUCUGACAUCCAUUGAGUAUCUUCGGACGAAUGAAAACUCAGACUCGGACGUCCGAAGAAGGCAAGCCAGGGCUUCUACAACUACUGAUCACGAUCGGACGCUCAACACCUGAGCAUUGGACGUCCGACAAGUAUUGCUGCUCUUCGGACGCAACAUCUUGGAUGUAUCGGCCGUCCGAAAGAAUUAAAGAGGAACCUCCAAGUUUGCAUCUUACCCUCGGACGCAUGGCGAGAAGGAUCGGGCGUCCUAAGUGGGUCAAGAAAAUUUCUCGAACUCACUGACCUCGCUCGGACGCAUAAAAACUGACUAUCGAACGUCCGACAGCACCAACGGCUAGUUGACUUUUCAGAUGCCUUCUACCCGUUGACAGCAUUAAUUGAAGAAUUUUCUGAUCUCCUAUAAAAAGAACAAAGUCAACCACCUCAGAAGAACUUUACACAUUAAGUCUACAUCAGAUCUUGAGUGAUUCAAGUGUGUGAAUACUCCAAAAAGAAGAUUUGUACUCUUAGUUGUGUAAUCUUCUUUUAGCUUUUCAAGUGUGAUCUAAUUUCAUCAAUAAUGUAGCUUUGUGAGGGUUAUCCGUGUGAUUGUAAAAUUUCUUUGCUUGUUCGAGUGAGACUUGAGGCAAGAAGGAAGUGAUCCUUCGUUUGUACACAAGAGAUUGGUUGAAAGUUGAUCUACUGUGAAGUAGCUUGAUACAUAUACAAAGUGUUGUUCAAACUUAGUCAAGUUUGAAAUUUGUUUGCAAAUUCCAUCCUCUCAUUUAUUGUCUUGAUAUAAAUUGCUUACUUGUUCUACUUACAAACUAUUUGUACUAAUCCAUCAACUGGUUUUCAGUAAGGUUCCUUUGAAAAAGAAAUCCAGGUCAAAGAAAAGGAGGAAAGGUGUCUCAUAUCUUGGCCUGAUUUUUAGUUAACCUAAUUCACCCCCUCUUAGGCUAUCUUCGAUCCUUACACUUGCAUAUUCAAAAGAAUGAAACUUUCCUUGCUAGGUAAAGGAGGAACAUUAUUAUAUAUUCCUUCAAAUUUGGUUGUCAUACUUGAUAUUUUGUGCUGACCCUUAAUGGGAUUUUGGGAUACGUAUGGGCCACCAGGGAAAUUGGCUUAACAGAUGUCUGGUUUGUGUAAAAUUGCUGGUGGAUGAUAUUGGAAUUAUUGCUGAUUUAGCUGUGGUUGCAACUUACAAGUAGUCUGUUUGCUUCAGCAUUUUAACAUGGCGACUGACUUUUCAGUGGCCGCAAAUGGCCUCUGUCCAUUUUUUGAGAUGUCCAAACAGUUACAUUUCAGGCUUUUGCCAGGUAUGGAAAUUUUGGAAUCGAAUUAUGAGCUCUCAGCAUGCGAUUUUCACUUAACUGAUCCCCAGCAAUUAACAGACCCGCACUCUAGUAGAUACAUUUUUAGCCACUUCAUGCAAUAUUUGAAAAUAUUUCUUACGCAAAUAUGAGAUGUGUAACCUUCAUUGUUGUAGUCGAAUAGCAUUCCUAAUUGACCAAUUGUUACUGGUCAAUUAGUUAAUCUUAACCUGAAAGCAAUAGUAGAGUAAAUAAACAUGAUUGUGGCCCAAGUCUUCAGUUCUUUGGCUAGAUGAUAGUUAAUACACGAUUAUGGUCUUGAUUCUUCAAUUCUUUGGAUGGAUGGAACUAUUGGGAAAUUGUUCAUUUAAUAAACAUGUUUGGUCUUGAUUCUUCUAGAAAAGAAAGGUAAAUUCUUAAAGGCGAAGGCAAGCUCUUCGAGUGUCGAACUUGAACAUGCAUGUUACCUUUUUUGCUUUUGGGUGAUGACAGUAGAUAACAUUUCAUGUGGAGCAUGACCGAGAAAGACAAAGGUCUAGAGAACGGAUGACUGUGUUCAUUGAUUGAUUUUUCAUUUCCCAAGUUAUUGCAUUUGUUGAUCUUCCAACUUGGUUAAGAUAGUGGUUGAUGACGAAUGAGUUGAGGCUUUCCAAAAAGGAUUUGCAAACGUGGAUUCAUAAUGUGUCAAUUGCGUCCCCAUGUUCCAACUCUUAUCCCUCUUGUGAAAAGCAAAGAUUUUUCAACUUUUUUUUUGACGUGAAAGAGUUGAUGGUGAAGAAAAUUAAACAUGAGCAAUGACUUUGUUUUAACUCCUCUUUCAUCACAAAAUCCUUAAUUAACACGACUUUUAGCAUAAAACUUGGCUGCUACUACUUUUCCUCUUACCUUGCCACACAAAAUAAGCAAGAAAUUGACAAAUACCUCCUGCGUGCCCUCAUAAGUAUUAUUUGGCUCGUAUUCUCCCAAGAUAUAGGUGCCUAUCAAACUAUAAUGCGACGCAAGAAAAAUAAGAAGUAAAUAACAAAAGAAAUGUGAAAAUAAAAGCCAUAAAAUCAAACUAGUAUAACUUACCUCUAUACAUAAGCUCUUUUUUUUUGUUCAAAUUACUCAACAGGAGUGUGCAUCAAAAUCAAAUUCGGUAAUUUGGAAUUUUAAAUUUGAAGUUUUUGGAAAUUUGGACAUUAGAAAAUUUGAUCGAUUUCAAAUUCGAUUUCACAAUUUCCAAAUUCAAUUUGAAAGUCGGUAAUAACCGAUUUCACCUAAUUCUGUAAUUAUAUGUAAGUUUGCUAAACUAAAUGCCAACUUUUGUAUAAUAUAAGUUAUAGUUAUAACAUAAUAUACAACUAACUUAAUAGGACUUAUUAUUGUAUUGUUUUAUAAUAUUAUUAUAAAUAGAUUUAAUAUUAUAUAAUAUAAAUUUUAUAUCACAUAUAUAUUAAUAUAUAUAACACAUACGAAUUUGAAAUUGAAUAUCAAAUUAGGUAUUCGAUUCCGAUUUCGUAUUGUGAAUUCGAAAUCCAAAAUUUCGUUUUGAGAAAACAUAUUCUCAAAUUCAAACCAAAUUCGUUUAUUUUGAAAAUAAAAAAAUUCGAUUUCCUUUUCGUUUUUCGCUUUACCGAUUUCGAGAAUUCCAAAAUUCGAAUCAAACUCGAUCGAUAAAUCGAUUUUUUUUAAGUUACAUGCUCCUAUAACUCAGAAUGAAUCACUUAUUAUAUAUUUAUACUCCACCUAAGAAAGGACAUAAGAAUUUAUAACUCUCUUGUAAUAUAAAGCUAAGUUAAAAUAUCAAACUCAAGAAAAAAGAAAAAUACACGCUUACACAUUUCAUACUUUUCCCCCGUCAUUUCCCUAGAAACAAAACAAGCACCUUUAAUGUAAUAAUAAAAAUUUUAAAAAAAAUGUUCGGGGCCAUUACAAAGGGCACAGCAAAUAUGCGGGGACACAACCAGAAAUCAAGCCAAAUUUGAGGGCAACAAGGAAGUUUAAAUAAUCGCGCUCUCUCCGUCAAAGUUGGCUGUUAAGGUUUCUUUUGCAUAUGAGUGAACUAUGAAUGAAAAUAAUCCGAAAGUACUUGCACUUGUUCCUUACUUAAGCCCUCGAAUGCCUUUCCUAGUUUUUCUUUCUCCAUUGAUCUAUUGAAACAUUGAGAGUUUGGAUUUUGAACAAGAAAAUCUUGCAAGGGUACUCAAUAUUGAAUCGAUUGGUAUAUUUUGCACAUUAGCUUUUCAUAAGGUUUAGGUUCAUUCCAUAAGUCGACCACUCUCUUUAAAGAUUGUUCCUUUGUAAUAUUUGAUUGCAAGUAAGAAUGCAGCCUAAUACCAAACUUAAUCCAAAAAAACGUUGCUUAGUAUUUAAUUUGUUGUAUGCCUAGUCUGCCAUGCUCUGGGUAUAUGCAUGGAAGUCAAUUCCUAGAAUGCUACCAUUUACCAAAACAUUCUUGCGUGUGGUCUUCUUUCCCAAAGCACAUUUAUGCAAAAAAUAUUUAUCAAGCAUGGUAGCCAAUGGCUUCACAUUGGUGGACUGAAAAUUUAUGAGUUGUAAACGGCUUGCAAUACUGGAUGUCAUAUUGUUGAUUAGUCUUCUUAUACCAGUAGGAUUUCCAUAUUCCAGAAUGAGAUGAUAGUCCUUGAAAAUAUGAAUGGGACUGACAUCUUCCCCAUUUCUCUUCUUAAGGUGAGAAGCUCACUGGAAAUAGGAUGUGAAGCUUCUACACAGGAAGGAAGGAUUUUGCUACAUUUAGUGCUACAGGUGCCAAAGGGCACUGCUUCACCAUAAAUCAUCCUUCAGUGUUUAUUUUUUUGUAACUAUCUUCAAACCAUGAAGCUUUCUGUAGUUUUCAAAUCCUUGCGUAGCUAUCCCGCUUUUCGUGUGGUUACUGGCCCUCUACAGUCUCGUGCUUUUCAGCCUGAUUUCAUUCCCAGGGACCCCAAAUCAAAGCCCGUAAGACACAAGUAUCCUGCUUUCUUUGAUCCUUAUAGCCCUAGACCCCUAACUUCAGAUAAGAUCAUUCGGCUUGCAGAGCAGAUUGCAGCCCUGUCUCCUGAAGAGCGUAAUUUAAUUGGUCCCACGCUUAGAGACAGACUAAGGCAUCCUAAGAUUCAACCAGUUUUAGUGGAGGGCAUGGACUUGGGUCCUCAGGGAGGGUCUGGUGCUGGGUAUUCAAAGGCUGAGGAGAAGAAGGUUGAAAAAACUGCAUUUGAAAAAACUGCAUUUUAACAUGGCGGCUGACUUUUCAGUGGCCGCAAAUGGCCUCUGUCCAUUUUUGAGAUGCCAAACAGUUACAUUUCAGGUUUUUGCCAGGUAUGGAAAUUUUGGAAUUGAAUUAUGAACUCUCAGCAUGCGAUUUUCACUUAACUGAUCCCCAGCAAUUAACAGACCCACACCCAGUAGAUUUUUUAGCCACUUCAUGCAAUAUUUGAAAAUAUUUCUUGCGCAAAUAUGAGAUGUGUAACCUUCAUUGUUGUAGUCGAAUAGCAUUCCUAAUGACCAAUUGUUACUGGUCAAUUAGUUCAUCUUAACCUGAAAGCAGUAGUAGAGUAAAUAAACAUGAUUGUGGCCCAAGUCUUCAGUUCUUUGGCCAGAUGAUGUUAAUAUACGAUUAUGGUCUUGAUUCUUCAAUUCUUUGGAUGGAUGGAACUAUUAGGAAAUUGUUCAUUUAAUAAACAUGUUUGGUCUUGAUUCUUCUAGAAAAGAAAGGUAAAUCUUAAAGGCGAAGGCAAGCUCUUCAAGUGUCGAACCUUGAACAUGCAUGUUACCUUUUUUGCUUUUGGGUGAUGACAGUAGAUAACAUUUCCAUGUGGAGCAUGACCGAGAAAGACAAAGGUCUAGAGACGGAUGACUGUGUUCAUUGAUUGAUUUUUCCAUUUCCCAAGUUAUUGCAUUGUUGAUCUUCCAACUUGGUUAAGUAGUGGUUGAUGACGAAUGAGUUGAGGCUUUCCAAAAAGGAUUUGCAAACGUGGAUUCAUAAUGUGUCAAUUGCGUCCCCAUGUUCCAACUCUUAUCCCUCUUGUGAAAAGCAAAGAUUUUUCAACUUUUUUUUUUUGACGUGAAAGAGCUGAUGGUGAAGAAAAUAAACAUGAGCAAUGACUUUGUUUUAACUCCUCUUUCAUCACAAAAUCCUUAAUUAACACGUUUAGCAUAAAACUUGGCUGCUACUACUUUUCCUCUUACCUUGCCACACAAAAUAAGCAAGAAAUUGACAAAUACCUCCUGCGUGCCCUCAUAAGUAUUAUUGGCUGUAUUCUCCCAAGAUAUAGGUGCCUAUCAAACUAUAAUGCGACGCAAGAAAAAUAAGAAGUAAAUAACAAAAGAAAUGUGAAAAUAAAAGCCAUAAAAUCAAACUAGUAUAGCUUACCUCUAUACAUAAGCUUUUUUUGUUCAAAUUACUCAACAGGAGUGUGCAUCGAAAUCAAAUUCGAUAAUAAAUUUUUGGAAAUUUGGACAUUAGAAAAUUCGAUCGAUUUCAAAUUCGAUUUCACAAAUUCCGAAUUCAAUUUGAAAGUCGGUAAUAACCGAUUUCACCUAAUUCUGUAAUUAUAUGUAAGUUUUGCUAAACUAAAUGCCAACUUUUGUAUAAUAUAAGUUUAUAGUUAUAACCUAAUAUCAACUAACUUAAUAAGACUUAUUAUUGUAUUGUUUUAUAAUAUAAUUAUAAUUAGAUGUAUUAUUAUAUAAUAUAAAUUUUUAUAUUACAUAUAUAUAUUAAUAUAUAUAACACAUACGAAUUUGAAAUUGAAUAUCAAAUUAGGCAUUCGAUUCCGAUUUCGCAUUGUGAAUUCGAAAUCCAAAAUUCCGUUUUGAGAAAACAUAUUCUCAAAUUCAAACCAAAUUCGUAUAUUUUGAAAAUAAAAAAAUCCGAUUUCCUUUUUUUUUUGCUUUACCGAUUUCGAGAAUUCCAAAAUUCGAAUCGAAUUCGAUCGAUAAAUCGAUUUUUUUUAAGUUACAUGCUCCUAUAACUCAGAAUGAAUCACUUAUUUAUAUUUAUACUCCACCUACGAAAGGACAUAAGAAUUUAUAACUCUCUUGUAGUAUAAAGCUAAGUUAAAAUAUCUAGCAAGAAAAAAGAAAAAUACACACUUACACUUUUCAUACUUUUCCUCCGUCAUUUCCCUAGAAACAAAACAAGCACCUUUAAUGUAGUAAUAAAAAUAAAAAAAAAUGUUCGGGGGCCAUUACAAAGGGCACAGUAAAUAUACGGGGACACAACCAGAAAUCAAGCCAAAUUUGAGGGCAACAAGGACGCUUAAAUAAUCGCGCUCUCUCUGUCAAAUUAGGGUUCUUAUAUUCACAUUUCUAUUUUCUACACGUUGACAAUUCACACUCUCAACCGUCACUCCUUUCCCCAGCAGAAGCCUAACAGAAUCAAUAAUAAAUUCGUAAGCCCAUUGUGUUUGUUUACAUCAGCACCAUCAUUCAUGUAAAUAUGUGCUUAGUUAUCUAAAAAAUUUUUUUUAGCCCUUAAAUGCUGGAUUGCAUUUCUUGUUUAUUUUCUUAAGCUUCACAAGUCCUCGUGAAUCUUUGGUGGCAGAUGCGGUAUUCUUCAUUUGAGGACUUUUUAUCUCUGGGUUGGUAGUAAUUCUCAUAAAUUUAAAUUUUUUAAUUGCUUCUUUCUUUUUACAUAAUAUGGUACGAAUGAUUGGGAAUUAUUCUGUGCUUAGCUAUUUUUUCAUUUAUUUUAAAAAAUUAUAGCUUGAGAUACAACAGUUAGCGGUUGUAGUCAAGUUUCAUUGAUUUUGUAAUAAUAGUGAAUUAUUACGGGUUAUUACAAUAAAAAUUAUGUUGUCACUGUAUUUUUUAAAUUAUCCCCAAAAAAGGGUAAACAAUAAAAGAAGGCGAUUGGGAAAGCCAUAAAGGAGCCAGACACUGGUAAAGUAAUUUACGGGGCCAAAGAGUAAAAUCAAUAAAAAAAGGGCAUUAUUGCAAAACGGGCACUUAAAUAUCCGUCAGGGUUCUUAUUCGCGUUUGCACACGCAGACGCUUCUCGCUGUCCUUCUCUGUAUUCGUUUAUGAAACCCACAAAAUUAACAAAAAAUUUGUAAGUUCAUUUAUUUUUUAUUUAGCUGUGAAGGAUUUUUCCCCCUGUGAAAUGGAUGAUUUAUUUAUGUUUUAAUUUCUUGAUUUUGAUUGUAGCUUGUGAACCUUUCGUUGCUAAUGCCUUAUUGUGUCUCUCAGGAGUUCUUUAUUUCUUGGUGGUUAUUUCUCCAUAAAGUUUAUAUUUUGUCAUAACAAUUUGUAUCUGGUGAUUGGAUUUUAUUUUGUGCUUAGACUAUUGAAGUUCAAUGAAAUUGUUAGUUCUGGAGCCUGAGUUAUUUUAUUUUAUUUUUUGGCUGGAACUGGUCUGAAACCCGAAUGAAGAUGGAUGUAAAAUUUGUUCCCUAAGUUGGCUGUUAAGGUUUCUUUUGCAUAUGAGUGAACUAUGAAUGAAAAUAAUCCGAAAGUACUUGCACUUGUUCCUUACUUAAGCCCUCGAAUGCCUUUCCUAGUUUUCUUUCUCCUUUGAUCUAUUGAGACAUUGGAUAGUUUGGAUUUUGAACAAGAAAAUCUUGCAAGGGUACUCAAUAUUGAAUCGAUUGGUAUAUUUUGCACAUUAUCUUUUCAUAAGGGUUAGGUUCAUUCCAUAAGUCGACCACUCUCUUUAAAGAUUGUUCCUUUGUAAUAUUUGAUUGCAAGUAAGAAUGCAGCCUAAUACCAAACUUAAUCCAAAAAAACGUUGCUUAGUAUUUAAUUUGUUGUAUGCCUAGUCUGCCAUGCUCUGGUAUAUGCAUGGAAGUCAAUUCCUAGAAUGCUACCAUUUACCAAAACAUUCUUGCGUGUGGUCUUCUUUCCCAAAGCACAUUCAUGCAAAAAAUAUUUAUCAAGCAUGGUAGCCAAUGGCUUCACAUUGGUGGACUGAAAAUUUAUGAGUUGUAAACGGCUUGCAAUACUGGAUGUCAUAUUGUUGAUUAGUCUUCUUAUACCAGUAGGAUUUCCAUAUUCCAGAAUGGGAUGAUAGUCCUUGAAAAUAUGAAUGAGACUGACAUCUUCCCCAUUUCUCUUCUUAAGGUGAGAAGCUCACUGGAAAUAGGAUGUGAAGCUCUACACAGGAAGGAAGGAUUACAUUCAUUUUGCUGCAUUUAGUGCUACAAGUGCCAAAAGGCACUGCUUCACCAGAAAUCAUCCUUCAGUGUUUAUUUUUUUGUAACUAUCUUCAAACCAUGAAGCUUUCUGUAGUUUUCAAAUCCUUGCGUAGCUAUCCCGCUCUUCGUGUGGUUACUGGCCCUCUACAGUCUCGUGCAUUUCAGCCUGAUUUCAUUCUCGGGGACCCAAAUCAAAGCCUGUAAGACACAAGUAUCCUACUUUCUAUGAUCCUUAUGGCCCUAGACCUCAACCUUCAGAUAAGAUCAUUCGGCUUGCAGAACAGAUUGCAGCCUUGUCUCCUGAAGAGCGUAAUUUGAUUGGUCCCACGCUUAGAGACAGACUAAGGCAUCCUAAGAUUCAACCGAUUUUAGUGAAGGGCAUGGACUUGGGUCCUCAGGGAGGGUCUGGUGCUGGGUCUUCAAAGGCUGAGGAGAAGAAGGUUGAAAAAACUGCAUUUGAUGUCAAGUUAGAAAAGUUUGAUGCUGCUGCAAAAAUUAAGGUGAUCAAAGAGGUUCGUGCUUUAACAAAUUUGGGGUUGAAGGAAGCCAAAGAUUUAGUUGAGAAAGUACCAAUUUUAAUUAAGCAAGGUAUCACUAAAGAAGAGGCAAAUGAUAUUAUAGAGAAGAUCAAAACUGUAGGGGGAGUUGUUGUUAUGGAGUAGAUUUUCACCGAGUUUUGUAUGCUUUCUUUGAACUGUUAUCAAAGUUCCAUUGCUAGUUUUUCGCUCUGAUAGAGAAACAACUGCCAUUCUGAAGAUGUUGUUCUUGCAUAUUCAAAAGAAUGAAACUUUCCUUGCUAGUUAGAGGAGGAACAUUAUUAUAUUUUCCUUCAAAUUUGGUUUUCACACUUGAUAUUUUGUGCUGACCCUUAAUGGGAUUUUGGGAUACGGAUGGGCCACCAGGGAAAUUGGCUUAACAGAUGUCUGGUUUGUGUAAAAUUGCUGGUGUAUGAUAUUGGAAUUAUUGCUGAUUUGGCUGUGGUUGCAACUUACAAGUAGUCUGUUUGCUUCAGCAUUUUAACAUGGCGGCUGACUUUUCAGUGGUCGCAAAUGGCCUCUGUCCAUUUUUGAGAUGUCCAAACAGCUACAUUUCAGGCUUUUGCCAGGUAUGGAAAUUUUGGAAUUGAAUUAUGAACUCUUAGCAUGCAAUUUUCACUUAACUGAUCCCAGCAAUUAACAGACCCACACUCUAGUAGAUAACAUUUUUAGCCACUUCAAGCAAUAUUUGAAAAUAUUUCUUGCGCAAAUAUGAGCUGUGUAACCUUCAUUGUUGUAGUCAAAUAGCAUUCCUAAUUGACCAAUUGUUACUGGUCAAUUUGUUCAUCUUAACCUGAAAGCAGUAGUAGAGUAAACAAACAUGAUUGUGGCCCAAGUCUUCAGUUCUUUGGCUAGAUGAUAGUUAAUAUACGAUUAUGGUCUUGAUUCUUCAAUUCUUUGGAUGGAUGGAACUAUUGGGAAAUUGUUCAUUUAAUAAACAUGUUUGGUCUUGAUUCUUCUAGAAAAGAAAGGUAAAUCCUUAAAGGCGAAGGCAAGCUCUUCGAGUGUCGAACCUUGAACAUGCAUGUUACCUUUUUUGCUUUUGGGUGAUGACAGUAGAUAACAUUUCCAUGUGGAGCAUGACCGAGAAAGACAAAGGUCUAGAGAGUGGAUGACUGUGUUCAUUGAUUGAUUUUCCAUUUCCCAAGUUAUUGCAUUAGUUGAUCUUCCAACUUGGUUAAGGUAGUGGUUGAUGACGAAUGAGUUGAGGCUUUCCAAAAAGGAUUUGCAAACGUGGAAUCAUAAUGUGUUAAUUGCGUCCCCAUGUUCCAACUCUUAUCCCUCUUGUGAAAAGCAUAGAUCAAAGGAGAAAGAAAAACUAGGAAAGGCAUUCGAGGGCUUAAGUAAGGAACAAGUGCAAGUACUUUCAGAUUAUUUUCAUUCAUAGUUCACUCAUAUGCAAAAGAAACCUUAACAGCCAACUUAGGGAACAAAUUUUACAUCCAUCUUCAUUCGGGUUUCAGACCAGUUCCAGCCAAAAAAUAAAAUAAAUAACUCUGGCUCCAGAACUAACAAUUUCAUUGAACUUCAAUAGGUCUAAGCACAAAAUAAAAUCCAAUCACCAGAAACAAAUUGUUAUGACAAAAUAUAAACUUUAUGGAGAAAAGCUAACCACCAAGAAAUAAAGAACUCCUGAGAGACACAAUAAGGCAUUAGCAACGAAAGGUUCACAAGCUACAAUCAAGAUUAAGAAAUUAAAACAUAAAUAAAUCAUCCAUUUAACAGGGGGAAAAAGCCUUCAUAGCUAAAAUAAACAAACAACUGAACUUACCAAUUUUUUGUUGAUUUUGUGGGUUGCAUAAACGAAUACAGAGAAGGACAGUGAGAAGUAUCUGCGUGUGCAAACGCGAAUAAGAACCCUGACGGAUAUUUAAGUGCCCGUUUUGCAAUAAUGCCCUUUUUUUAUUGAUUUUACUCUUUGGCCCCGUAAAUUACUUUACUAGUGUCUGGCUCCUUUAUGGCUUUCCCAAUUGCCUUCUUUUAUUGUUUACCCUUUUUUUAGGAUAAUUUCAAAAAUCUAUGAGGUUUCUCGUAAUAUCAUUCAGCUCCUUGAGGUUUGUAAAAUUUUGCUUACCUCCUCUGUGAGUUUGACGAGACUAAAUAUUCUUAUCAAAUGUCAUAAAUUGACAAUAACACCUUUGCUCUUAAUAACUAUUUAACCAAAAAGUCAAAAAGUAAAAUUGUUAAACCAAAAAAUGUAGAUUAAAACAAAAAAUGAAUUGUUAUCUAAUAAUGGUCUAUAUUUCUCUAUAUAGAGAUCGUGGUGGGACAGCAAAAGAUGUGGAUAAAUUAAAUCUAUUUAGAAUCAACCAUUCAGGAGGAUUUUGGUGAGUAAUUAAUACCUUGAAAACUUUCAUAGAUAGUUAUACGAAAGUCAAGAAAUUUUUUGGGGAAAUACAUUUUAAUACAUGAUGUAGUUUAAGUUAUGUUAAAAAUUAAAAAAACUGAAGACUUGGGCCACAAUCAUGUUUAUUUACUCUACUGCUGCUUUCAAGUUAAGAUGAACUAAUUGACUAGUAACAAUUGGUCAAUUAGGAAUGUUAUUCGACCACAACAAUGAAGGUUACACAUCUCAUAUUUGCGCAAGAAAUAUUUUCAAAUAUUGCAUGAAGUGGCUAAAAAUGUUAUCUACUAGAGUGUGGGUCUAUUAAUUGCUGGGGAUCAGUUAAGUGAAAAUCGCAUGUUGAGAGUUCAUAAUUCAAUUCCAAAAUUUCCAUACUUGGCAAAAGCCUGAAAUGUAACUGUUUGGCCAUCUCAAAAAUGGACAGAGGCCAUUUGCGGCCACUGAAAAGUCUGCCACCAUGUUAAAAUGCUGAACCAAACAGACUACUUGUAAGUUGCAACCACAGCUAAAUCAGCAAUAAUUCCAAUAUCAUACACCAGCAAUUUUACACAAACCAGACAUCUGUUAAGCCAAUUCCCCUGGUGGCCCAUCCGUAUCCCAAAAUCCCAUUAAGGGUCAGCACAAAAUAUCAAGUAUGAAAACCAAUUUUGAAGGAAAAUAUAAUAAUGUUCCUCCUCUACCUAGCAAGGAAAGUUUCAUUCUUUUGAAUAUGCAAGAACAACAUCUUCAGAAUGGCAGUUGUUUCUCUAUCAAAGCGAAAAACUGGCAAUAGAACUUUGAUAACAGUUCAAUGAAAGCAUACAAAACUCGGUGAAAAUCUACUCCAUAACAGCAACUCCUCCUACAGCCUUGAUUUUCUCAUUUGCCUCUUCUUUAGUGAUACCUUGCUUAAUUAAAACUGGUACUUACUCAACUAAAUCUUUGGUUUCCUUCAACCCCAAAUUUGUGAAAGCACGAACCUCUUUGAUCACCUUAAUUUUUGCAGCAGCAUCAAACUUUUCUAACUUGACAUCAAAUGCAGUUUUUUCAACCUUUUUCUCCUCAGCCUUUGAAGACAACACCAGACCUCCUGAGGACCCAAGUCCAUGCCCUCCACUAAAACUGGUUGAAUCUUCGAUGUCUUAGUCUGUCUCUAAGCGUGGACCAAUCAAAUUACGCUCUUCAGGAGACAGGGCUGCAAUAUGUUCUGCAAGCCGAAUGAUCUUAUAUGAAGGUGGGGGUCUAGGGCCAUAAGGAUCAUAGAAUGCAGGAUACUUGUGUCUUACGGGCUUUGAUUUGGGAUCGCCUGGGAAUGAAAUCAGGCUGAAAUGCACGAGACUGUAGAGGGCCAGUAACUACACGAAGAGCGGGAUAGCUACGCAAGGAUUUGAAAACUACAGAAAGCUUCAUGGUUUGAAGAUAGUUACAAAAAAUAAACACUGAAGGAUGAUUUCUGGUGAAGCAGUGCCCUUUGGCACUUGUAGUACUAAAUGCAGCAAAUGAAUGUAAUCCUUCCUUCCUGUGUAGAAGCUUCACAUCCUAUUUCCAGUGAGCUUCUCACCUUAAGAAGAGAAAUGGGGAAGAUGUCAAUCUCAUUCAUAUUUUCAGGGACUAUCAUCUCAUUCUGGAAUAUGGAAAUCCUACUGGUAUAGAGAAGACUAAUCGACAAUAUGACAUCCAGUAUUGCAAGCCGUUUACAACUCAUAAAUUUUCAGUCCACCAAUCUGAUGCCAUUGGCUACCAUGCUUGAUAAAUAUCUUUUGCAUGAAUGUGCUUUGGGAGAGAAGACCACAUGCAAGAAUGUUUUGGUAAAUGGUAGCAUUCUAGGAAUUGACUUCCAUGCAUAUACCCAGAGCAUGGCAGACUAGGCAUACAACAAAUCAAUACUAAGCAACGUUUUUUUGGAUUAAGUUUGGUAUUAGGCUGCAUUCUUACUUGCAAUCAAAUAUUACAAAGGAACAAUCUGUAAAGAGAGUGGUCGACUUAUGGAAUGAACCUAACCCUUAUGAAAAGCUAAUGUGCAAAAUAUACCAAUCGAUUCAAUAUUGAGUACCCUUGCAAGAUUUUCUUGUUCAAAAUCCAAAAUAUCCAAUGUCUCAAUAGAUCAAAGGAGAAAGAAAAACUAGGAAAGGCAUUCGAGGGCUUAAGUAAGGAACAAAUGCAAGUACUUUCGGAUUAUUUUCAUUCAUAGUUCACUCAUAUGCAAAAGAAACCUUAACAGCCAACUUAGGGAACAAAUUUUGCAUCCAUCUUCAUUCGGGUUUCAGACCAGUUCCAGCCAAAAAAUAAAAUAAAAUAACUCAAGCGCCAGAACUGACAAUUUCAUUGAACUUCAAUAGGUCUAAACACAAAAUAAAAUCCAAUCACCAGAAACAAAUUGUUAUGACAAAAUAUAAACUUUAUGGAGAAAAGCUAACCACCAAGAAAUAAAGAACUCCUGAGAGACACAAUAAGGCAUUAGCAACGAAAGGUUCACAAGCUACAAUCAAGAUCAAGAAAUUAAAACAUAAAUAAAUCAUCCAUUUAACAGGGGGAAAAAAAGCCUUCAUAGCUAAAUAAACAAACAAAUGAACUUACCAAUUUUUUGUUGAUGUUGUGGGUUGCAUAAACGAAUACAGAGAAGGACAGUGAGAAGUAUCUGCGUGUGCAAACGCGAAUAAGAACCCUGACGGAUAUUUAAGUGCCCGUUUUGCAAUAAUGCCCUUUUUUUAUUGAUUUUACUCUUUGGCCCAUAAAUUAUUUUACCAGUGUCUAGCUCCUUUAUGGCUUUCCCAAUCGCCUUCUUUUAUUGUUUACCCUUUUUUUUUGGGAUAAUUUCAAAAAAUCUAUGAGGUUUCUCGUAAUAUCAUUCAGCUCCUUGAGGUUUGUAAAAUUUUGCUUACCUCCUCUGUGAGUUUGACGAGACUAAAUAUUCUUAUCAAAUGUCAUAAAUUGACAAUAACACCUUUGCUCUUAAUAACUAUUUAACCAAAAAGUCAAAAAGUAAAAUUGUUAAACCAAAAAAUGUAGAUUAAAACAAAAAAUGAAUUGUUAUAUAAUAAUGGUCUAUAUUUCUCUAUAUAGAGAUCGUGGUGGGACAGCAAAAGAUGUGGAUAAAUUAAAUCUAUUUAGAAUCAACCAUUCAGGGGAUUUUGGUGAGUAAUUAAUACCUUGAAAACUUUCAUAGAUAGUUAUACGAAAGUCAAGAAAUUUUUUGGGGAAAUACAUUUUAAUACAUGAUGUAGUUUAAGUUAUGUUAAAAAUUAAAAUAAUCUCUUCAUAUGUGUGAAUUCUUCAAGGUGUAAAUUUUGCUUUGUUCCAAAACAACUAGUUUAAGUUAAAAAAUUUACAACUUAUAAAAAGUUAACCUUAUUUUAUUUUUUAUUGUUGUUGUAAACUUUAUAAAUUAAAUUGUUGUUGUAAACUAAAAUAAAAGUAUUAUCUUUCUUGCAUUUCCUCAAAGGGGCUAAAAUGCUACAAUGAAUGUCAAUUCAAAGGAGUUAAGUGAGAUUUUAAAGACAUCAGGAGAGCUGAGUGAUAUUAUGAGAAACCUCAAGAUAGGUUUCUGAAAUUAUCCCUAGUAAUAGUUAUUUAGGGAAAUGAAAAAGGGAAAGAGAACCCGAGAAUGAAUUAGUAUGUUUUAUUAUUAUUUUUUGAAUUACUUUACAUGUUUUAUUACUUUUUUUCGAAUUUCUUUAUUUAUUGUCUUUUUUUAACUUAAUAAUAAGAGAUGACCCCCAGAUGAGAAGUUCAAGAAUUUGGCCUAUAUUUCUAAUUAACAAUUUAAGGUAGUAUCUAGUACCUCAAUUUUAUUACUCACAAUGCCUCAUCUCUUUCAUGUCCAAUUUCGUGUUCUUUUUUGCUUAAUCCAUUUUUCCUAUCUUUUUUUGUUUGUAAAUAUGUCGAUAGCUAAAUGAGAGUGUGCUACUUGUCGUUUCUUUCUUAUUUUGUGCACCAAGGUAGGAGGUAAAGUAGUACCCAACUGUUAAUUUUGUGCUUAGACUUCUUGCUAUUUAAUAAUUGAUGAUGAUCAUAGAGCAAUGGAAUAAGAAUUAGUACAUGUAAACAAUCUUAACCACUCAGAAGAUCAACUAAGGCACUAACGUCGAAAAUGGCAAAUCAAUAAAUGAAUCAAAGCCAUCCACUACCUUGAGAGCUUUGUCUUUCUUUUUUCAACUUUUACAUGAAAAUGGCACCCUUCGGGCAUCUGCUAUCUUUGGUAAGGACCACCACGCUUGGACCACAAAGAGUAGUACAAUAAGAGAAUUGCAAUAGUUGGAAUUUAUUACUGAUUCUGAUGAAGGUUGGAAUGUAUUACAAUAGAGUAGUACAACAAGUAUAAGUAAUGGUUGGAAUGUGUAACUGGUGUUUGGAUUGCAAAUUUAUCUCAAAUAAUAUUUCGCUUGCAUCAUAAACACAUUUACCAAUCCACCUUUUCAUAUUUUCAAUUAAUUUUUAUCUCACAUACAUCACAUCACAAAAAGUGCUACAUUAAUUAUUUUAAAUAAUAUUUCAAAUGAUACUCUAUCCAAAUACACUAGACACACUCAGUAUUCAAAUAAUUAUUCCAAGGUUUGCAGCAGGAAUAUUUUAUGUGGCAUAACAUUAAUCUAGGCUACUUGCGAGCUAUCCCAUAAACCUGAGGAUUUGCUAUUGAGGCAGAAGACACAAAUGCCCGCUGAAGUUCAACAGAUGAGAAGACCGCUUUAGCAAUAACUUCUCCAGUUUUUCUAGUGAAGUGACAGCCAUCAGCAACAAACUGCUGCAAAGGAUCAAGAAUCCCUUGGAAAAAUCUCCGAAUUGUUCCAUCUGCCAGCAAAACAGACAAAUCAAGGCUUUGACGUUAUAAUUCAGUUAGAUGGAGGUGGCAGAGAAGUUAACAUGAAAUAAAAGCUUUCAUUAUCGCAAAUAGGAAGUACAUCUUUAUUACCUUCUGCUGCUACGUGUUCCACAAACACACAGAGCCCACCUGGCUUUAGCACCCUCAUAAUCUCUGAAAACAAUUACUAGAAUGUGUAUUAGCCCCUGCUAUCUUCUUUUCCACUCGAUAUACACUGAGCAGAACAAACCUAGCCACUGAGGCGUAUAUGACAUGUUCUUCCAACAAGAAGUAGACCAUUCAUAUUUUCUUAAGAAAAAACCUUUAGAUGCUGCAUGCUAAAAUUGUAAAUUUUAUCUACCAAAGUUUGAGUGUCUCAUACAGGAAUUAACCUACCUUGCAGCGCCAAGUCAACAUCUUUGACAGAACAUAGGACAAGUGUGGCCACUACAGCAUCCACAGAUGCAUCACCAAGGGGCAGAGCCUCAGCAACCUGCACAAUUCAAUGGUCAGACACUCCCAUUGCAAAAUUAACUCCGAGGGAUAAAUGAGCUUCAAAUGAGCUGUGACUAAUAAGUCUGCAACAACAGACGGAAGAGGCAUCUAAAGUGGAUCGUUGACCAAUAUCAACACCAAGAAAAUCCUAAGCUCAAGCCAAAAGCAUUUGACAGGAACUAUAUGCAACUGCCUAAUCUCAAACAGACAGAGCAGAUAUCUUGGCAUCUGAUGUCCAAGAUAUAACUUAAAUGAAGGAAAGAAGCUUUCAUAAAUGAAGCAACUGGGUAAAUAAGGUAAGACAGGAAAAGCUCAUAAACGAGGCAUAAAAAUCAUCAUUUCUUGCACCAUAAGAUUAGGUAUGUGCACCAGUCAUAUCAACUUUAGAUGAAAACCAAGCAUGCUAUCGACAUACACAAAUUAGCUUUUGGCUGUGGCCUUCUGAAAACCAAAAUUCAGCUUUCAAACAGUUAAUCAGCCAUGCAAAGAUACUGUUAUCUUGCAGACAUGAAAAAGACAUCGCUAAUAGAAGCCAUCUGAUUCACCAUAGACAGGCUCAUACUGCUUGUGUAAAUUUAAAGUGAACUACGCCUUUCUGGUGGCUGCCGUGCAUUUGCUACUGGUGGUAAUAGAGGUUUUUGCGAAGAAGGGAGUACUUCAGGAGUGUAUCUUCUUGUUAAUGAAGAAGAGAUAAAUGAGCUGCCUAAACGUGAUAACGUAGGCGUCCCAGGAAGUUAAGACUUGGAGAUGGUACACUGCUGUAUAAAUCGAUGGACUGCCUGAUACAAGGAUAUGAGAUACCAAGCAUUAUCAACCAGAGUUUGAACACAGUCCAAGUGAGAUGACUAAUGUAACCAUUUCUCAAAUAUAUAAUCCAGUUGUGCAAGUUUAAAACAAAUUAACAAAGAACCAUUGGAAUUGAUUCUAAAUCUUAAAAGCUAAGAGCCAAAUUAUUUGCAGCUGGUAGAAUUGCACAUGAGGGAGUGAUGGUUGUACUCUUGAUCAAACCAGUAUGUUUUAUCCUCUCCAAAAACAACUGAAAACUGAUGCAAAUAAGAAACGCUGGUACAUGAUUGGAGGAGGAGAGUGGAUCUCUGGCACUUAUUUCAAUCAAAAUAUCUAGCAGACGGUCUAAAAGUUGGUAUAGUUCUGGCCAGAUGUUAUGACACACCAAAGUUAUGGAAAUUGGUUCAGUCUAAAGCCCAUGAAAUGAAUACUCUGGAUGUGGUUUGGAAACUUCUCUUCCAGAAUCAGCGGUUCGAUGAAAGGUAAUAUCCAAAAUAUGGUUUCUACCAUUGAUAAAUGUAGUAACGACAAUACAACUCUUCACUUCCAAAGAUGGUUCACAGGGAUUAACCACCAGUCCCUCAUGACGAAGGAAAAUCUUUUCAAUAGAGGCAGUAGUCAGCAAUAUAAGUGCAUCAUACCAAGUUCCGCUAAGCUGAAGAAGGAUCCAGGGAAGACAUAAAAUGCUCUGGCCUUUUGAUAACAUUACAUAGCCUACCUUAAGCCCAUAGCUAUCCUUUACUGAUGUUACUGGAUCCAUUCAAACUCAUAAACUAUUGAUAUUCAUGGCCGAAACAGAAUGAAAAUACUUGAAGAAGCUCCAAAAUAUGAAUGAUGAAAGCAUUUCAAUCCCAUUUCUAAAUAUCUCUCCUAGCCAAAAAUGAAUAGGUAAAGCUAAACAUCCGGUACCAUAUAAAUAUAACAGCUUUCAAGAAACCAAGUGCUUCACUGCUAAAUACAGAAUCUGCAGAACAAGAACAGAACAAACGUAGAGAACACCAUAGCUAGAUGUAGAAAGAAACAAAUAUAGAUAUGUGCGAUAAGAUGAUACCACCUGUAAAUUUGAGGCCAAGAGGUGGUGAUAGAUUUGCUCUCCGGCCUUUCGUCCUCAUUAUCAUUAGAAUAACUGCUAG